GAGGAUUGAGCAUUCAAGCAAAUCUAUACACAAACAUUUUUUAUGCUUCCAAGUGUCUUGCUCAGGAGAUGAAUGAUGAUAAACCCAGCUUCGCUUCCGCAAUUUUGUUAUGACUGCGUCUUUUAUCUCCUCUGGAAGUUGAAAGUUUUAAUGGCGUAGGCAAAUAUGAAGGCAAAAAUUACUGGCAAUCCAACAACUACACCAGCAACAGCUGGAAGAAAGUCAUGUUUGUAACCAAAGUAACUUCUCAGGUAAUCUUUAAUUAAUUCGCCGUUGUCUUCAAGACGAUCAGACAGAUCCCCCCAUUGGGAUACAAAUAGGCCAUACAAGCUCCAAGCCACGGGACAUCCCCAGUAAUACCAUCUCCACCAAAUAGGAAUCCUCUGUUGUUUGACAAGAAAUUCAGAAUUAUUAAAAAGAAAGAAAGAAAAAAAAGAGAGAGUAAGAUUUCUUGCUUUGCUUUGCUUUGCAUGCGUGACUACUAUGGAAAGAAAUGAUGAUAUUUGCACAACUUACCGGUCGGGGGAUGAGGAAUCCAGAAAAGAGAUUCCAUCCAGCAUAAAAGGCAGCGGCGACGACGGCAGAAAUGUUGUGAUUGGGAGUGACAGACACAACCAUCAUGCCAUAGAAGGUGAAGUACAGUAAUGUGAAGUACAUGAAAAACAAGUACCAAAAGAAUUUCGCGGCGGUCCAUUCAAAUCCAAUCAUAGCGUAGGUAAUGAGAGAAUAGAAUACAGCUUGUUUAAGGAUGUAUAAAAUCUCAAUUCCAACCUGGAGACAGCAAAACAAUUUAUCAGAACAAAAAAAAAAGACUACGCUCGUGAAGUGCCAUGCAACGUCUGAUAUUCAGGAAAUCGGCUCACCUGUGCAAAAGCAUAUGGCAAGGCAGAAUACAUUCCGGCUGCUCUCUCUCUGUAGAAUACCGUCCGUUCUAUAGCCACCACAGGUUGCACUGCUGCGGAGUUUUGCACCCCCAGGAAGAGAACAGCAGCAUACAUUGAACCCAUGGCAUUGAUAAGAUCUUGUGUAGUCCCCCUGCGUUACAACAAGCCAAUACGUUUAGUCAAUGGAACUUGUGUCGAAAUCAUGCUUCACAGGUUGUUUUUCAGGCCACAUAAUGUGAAGCGCUUGUUAACUUACUUUCUUUUACCCAGCUUCCAGAAGAUUGUCCCAAAUGACAGAGCAAUGAAGGAGGUGAAUAAAAAUCUCACGGCUGUAUAAGGUGGAUUGCGCCAGUAUGAUAUGCGUUGUUUCCAGAAGCAAGCCAUGCAUUGCACAGGGAACGCCUGAGAGUACUUGGUAGGGAAGUAGAGGUCUUUUGUACCAGGGCGCGGGCUAUCUAGUUCAUGAAUGAGUGCUUUGUUCCUCCUGGAAUUUGCAACAUAUACAGAGUAAAGAAGUGCAUACUAGAUUGAUGGUGUAUUCUGUCAUUGAAUAUUGGCGGCCCAAAGUAGCAUCAUCUGAUUUAGAGGCAGAAAUUGACUGUUGAAUAACUAAACUGACCUGUAUAAAUCAGAGUUUUUAUAGAUCUCAGCAAAAUCGGCUCCCAACAUAAGUUCUUGUGCUGAAGCAGUAACUUCCAACAUCCAGGUUGCUGGGUUGUAACUAUCUUUGAUUUUGCUGACUCCAUCAAUUGCCUGAAUUUGAAAGAAAAAUGAAUAUGUAGGAUUCUAAUUUGGAAAACAAGCUUUUCAAGUACUACAUGUUAAUCAGAAACUUACCUCAAAGUACUUAAUCAAUUCGAUGGAAUUGUGGCCAAGCGGCCCGACAUAUAUUUCUUGGCCUCCUCGCUUCAGAAGGAAUAACUGCAGAACCAUGUCCAGUUUUAGCAGUUCUCAUUAAUUCAAAAACCAAAAAGUACUCAAAAUUCUGAACAGAACAUUACCUCAUCGAAAGCUUCAAAUAUGUCAAUGCUUGGCUGAUGAAUGGUGCAUACUACAGUUCUUCCAGUGUCUACAGUAUUUCUCACAGUUCUCAUCACAAUUGCAGCAGCUCUUGCAUCAAGACCUGAAGUUGGCUCGUCCAUGAAUAUGAUUGAGGGGUUAGCCACAAGUUCAACGGCAAUAGUAAGCCUCUUGCGCUGCUCAGUUGAAAGACCGUUGACCCCUGGGAGCCCCACAAGUCCAUCUCUCAAUGAAGUAAGUUCCACAAGUUCCAUAACUUCCUCAACGAACAUCUGCAGAUAUUAGUAACAUGAAUAUGCACAUAAGACACUUGAUAAAGGAGACGCACAUUAGCAAGGUUUCAUAAAUUUGUCAGCAUUUUGAUUGUUAAGCCAAAACAGAUUGAGGGAUACAAACCAUUCUGGUUUUAGCAUCAACUUCUGCGGGCAGACGCAGCCAAGCUGAGUAAACUAGAGACUCAUAAACAGUAACGUGAGGAGAGUGGAUGUCAUUCUGCUCGCAGUAUCCAGAUAUCCGAGCAAAGGUCUCCUGAUUCUUUGGAUACCCAGAGAUUGUAACGUUUCCUUCAAUAUAUCCACCAGUUUUCCUACCAGCCAGCACAUCCAUUAAAGUUGUUUUACCGGCUCCACUGACACCCAUUAAAGCAGUUAAAACACCAGGCCUAAACGCUCCACUAAUCCCCUUGAGAAGCAUGAGUUUAUCUUCAACAGCACCCUGAUCUUUCAUUGCCUGCAGGUCAUUGAAAGAAUUAAGCAGUUAUUUCGGAGAUGGGUACUUCAAUGACUAAUUAUUAGCAGUAGCAGUAGCUGCUUAUAAAUCAUCAACACAGGAUUCCUCUCGGAAAGUUUGAACUUGUAACUUGUCCAAGUACCUGUGGCAUGUCAACUGAGUAUCUUAUGUCGUCAAAGGUAAUUGAAUGCGGUUCAAAUGGAAGAAUCAUUCCUCUUCUCCGAUUCUCAUUGGACUCAGUGAUGGCAUCUGCCCACGUAAAAGUAAACCUUUAGAAACCACACAAGGUAGAGGCAUCAUUACAUCCAUAGGCAUCAUUACAUCCCUAUGCAACUUACCUACGGAGCCAUCUCUUUGGCCAGAAUUUUCAGUGUUUUCACUUUCUUCUGGUAGAACAGCUUGAGGCUUCCCGAGUGCUGCAAAAGUUUUGUCUAAUUAUUAGUACCUGACCUUCAAAUGAUUUCAACUUACUAAACAAAAACAAGACUCACGCUGAAGAUAAGUGAGAGCGAGGGUAUAGAAGAAAUUUAACAGGAGAAUGAAUCCACCACACGCUCCAAGUCCGAUCCAGUACCAGUAUGAUUGAGGGAAGAAUCCUUUAGAUUUCAAGACUUGAGCUCCCAAUGUUUCAUUUGUAUUUGGCACAAUCUAUGCGAGUACAGAAUAUAAUAAGAAGUUAGUCCAAAUCCCAGAUUCAGAAAUUCAGGAACCAUGCAAUUGCUGAGCAUAGUAAUUUACUUGUCUCCAGUGCUUUCCCGUAAAUUCGUUAACAAGAAUUGCAUUCUGUGCAUACAUCAAUGGUGAGGACCAGUAACCCCACAACCACCAUUUCUUCACUUGAUCUGCAUCAUUCCAUAAAAUAAGAAAAACAAAAGCAAAUAUCAGUCACUUUUACUGAUUAUGAGGAGAACAGAGAUUUGACUUUGAAUUCGGAGCAUUACCUCUUGAUAAGACAAAUCCACCCAAUGCAAAAAGCAGCAUCAAUGCGAAUGUCCCAAAUGUGUUAGCCACAAUCAUGUUCCUGGAAGCUGCCCCAAUGAAUCUAAACAAUGCUGAUGCUACCUGAUUUAUAGCGACCAGUAUCAGGUAGUGUUUGAAAAACCUGCAGCAAACGUACCAGAUAUGAAAAAUGCGGACCUUUACAAUAAAAGUUACUGAGCAAAGUUAGUUUGAUAGUUUACUUUACUAUAGAAGUUACUGAGCAAAGUUACUUAGGUAGUUUACCUCGCAGGGCUUGGAUCAAAUCCAAUGACAUAGUAGGUCAUAACUACCCAAACAGCAACUUCAAGAAAAGUGAUGGGUAUCUUGAGAAUCCAUGUGGGCAGAGCAUACGACCAGGCAGGAAAAAACCGGAAGUCCCUUUGCUUGAAGAAGACCGGAAGCUUGAGAAUUGUCAUCGCCAGUUCGGACAUUCCAUUAAACAUGACCUGAACGACCGAGAAAAAUAGAGCACCAAGAUAUAUUCCUCCAUCAACAACAUUUCUUCUUGGCAUUUUAGUCCUAAAGAACACUGUCAUUCCGAUAAGGGCCAUCAUGAUUAGCUGAGAGAUUUUGAAAAUGUAGAUAAAGGAGUUUCUCUUUAUAAGCAAGAGUUCUCUAGCGGAGUUGGCUUUAAAAAUCUCUUUAUUGUUAACACCAUAGGUUUGGGUAGUCAAAGCGGCUGGAUGACUUUUGCUCUUAUCAAAUGGUGUUGCAAGUUCAUUUGCUAGUGUCCUUCCAACAUGGAAUGAUUGGAAUGACUCGGCAAAUUCAGUCGCAGCUAUAUAUCUGUAGGGUUCGUCUCUACGUGCCCAGUACUGCUGCUGAUCUUUCUUUGAUGUAACCUGCACAAAUAUGUAAUUUUAUGUUAUAACUGGAUAAGGGGACUCAAAAAUCGAUGUUAUUAUAAAUGUUUAUUUUACAAUAAAAGCAUACUUCUUGCAAGAAGUCAGCAACUCCUUUCCUCUCCGGGCAUCGGAAACCCAUAGAUUCAAAAAAUUCAAGAACAUUUUCUCGGGGGCCCUGGUAAACAAUCAGGCCAUCGGAUAAGAGGACAAUAUCAUCGAAGAGGUCAUAUGUCUCAGGAGCCGGCUGCAGGAGUGAAAUGAACGCAGUUCCCUUCAUAAUAUGCACAUAUUGUCUGAGGGAAUUCACAAUCUGGAAAGUAGUAGAACUAUCUAAUCCAGUUGAUAUCUCAUCCAUGAAUAGUGCAUUUGUCGGUCCAACAAGCAUUUCACCUGAAAUUUUAAGUAAACCAUCAGCUAAGUUUAGGGCUGUAAAGUCUAAACAGGGCUUGCUCUGGUUUAUUAGACGUAUGGUUCAGUUUUUACCUGUUGUCACACGCUUCUUUUGUCCUCCAGAGAUUCCUCUCAGCAUUUCAUCUCCCACCAGAGUGUCUGCGCAAAUUUCCAGUCCCAAAAUCUGCACAACAAUGAAAAAAUGAGUACUUAUUUUGCGGUUUCAUGCUGUUGUAAGACUAAGAGGAAUCUAACGAGAUACGGUACCCGAAGAACAUAAUCUGUGACAACAGUUGCUUCUUGGCCUUCAGUAGCCGCAGACUGGAAUAACCAAAUAGAAUAUGUGAAUCACUAAAUGGACAAACUAAAAUUGCUUUGCUGAUUAGUUCAACUAUGACUAGUGUUAUUUCUUUCUGACCUUCAUGUAUAUAUCAAUAUCGGGAUCAGGCUUGAUAUUUGCUGCUUUUUCUCUUCUUGACAACUCCGCCAACAUCUCUGCAAUUUUUUUUUAAAGAAGAAUGAAUAUACUUAAUCACCAAGUAAACAUAAAAGAGCAAGAAGUAGGAGUAAUCUCCUGACUAACCAUAACGAGAUCCAACGCCUUGGCACCUGGCAGAAAAUGCUAGAGUUUCUCUCACAGUCAUUUCUCCAAUAUGGAGAUCAUGUUGACUAACAUACGCAGCAGUUCUUUGGGGUACAAAUUCAUUCAUGCCGUGCCCAUUGUAAGUAAUCCUUCCAGAAGACUGGUGUGAAAAAAGAAAAGACGUUAGUGCUUUCAAUUAAGAAACUAGCUUCAUAUCGGACGUUAAUUCCAGCAGUGUAGUUGCUGUAGAUUUACCUUCAAAUCGGGGUCAAGCUUUCCAGCCAAAGCCAUCAAAAGUGUUGUCUUUCCAGACCCUGGAGGACCUAAUAGUAAUGUCAUUCUGCAAAGACAAGAUUAAAGAGUUGAACAAGAGACAAUUAUCUUCAAAUAUUGAAGUCACGUACAGAUAUAAAACCCCUGAAUUAGGCCAUGUUUGAUUUCAUUAGUAAUCUGCUUUCUUACCUUGAAGGCUUGAUAAUUCCACUGACAUCGCGAAGUAUUUUAAUAUUCUUCUUUCUGCUUGGAAGUAUGUGAAGAUUGUUCAAGAGCCCCUUUUGAAAAGGUAAAAGAAAAAAAGGAAGAGCGGGGAAACAGACAAGUUAGAUCAAAGCAUCCGUUGCAUGCUUGAAGGUACAAAUAAUCUAAAACAAUUAUAUGUUUCAUAUAACGGAAAAGCAGGUGAUGAAUAACAAGAUUUACCUCUAUCAUAUUGGUAGCGAAGUUAAGGAAGGUAGGCAGAGCACUACUUCCUACAUAAGCUUCUGCCUCAACAUUUAGAUGCUCAUAUCUUACUUCAAUUGUAGGCAAAUCGAUUCCAACUCUAAAGUUAUACCACAGCGAAAACCAAAAAAAUCCAUCAUUUAAAAGAUCAAAUUUUUGGUUGAUUUAUUUGUUGAAAGAUACAAAGUGAAGAGAGCAAUCAGCAGAAGUGGUAGUACCUAUCAAUUCUGUUCCUCAGUUUCAUCAAGAAUUUCUCAUUAUCCUCUUCUGCAACCUUGAUGAGCCUCUCAAUGAGAGUUUUUCUUUCUUGAAAUCCAAAGUUCUCUACAUCCACUUCAUUGACUUCACCUCGUGAUCCAAAGAGCAGCCCUUUUCUCAGUCUAUCAAAGGUUGGUAGCUUUUCAAGGGAAGCCCAUUUCAGAGCGUCUUCAUCAUCUUCGUCUCGCGAUGAACGUGAAAACACUUCCAGGCCUGUAUUCCUCCACAAGGCUGAGCUGUUAGCUCUUAAACUACCUCUUAAACUACCGCUCGGUCCUAUCUCCAUUCUGAUCCCAAGUGCGCACAAUAUGCAACACUAGGCCAGUAAAACGUCUUCAAAAACAGCUCGAGAAUCCUCGAAACUUGGCAGGCUUGAAUCAAAAUCUUAGCAAUUCAGCCGCCUUGAUCAAAAGGGAUGACUACUCAGUUCCUAGUCUCUUUCUUUCUUUCUCUUUCUUUUUUUUUUUUUUUUUUUUGCAACUGUUAGUUCAAAGUACGCCCCUAGCUGCAGAAGGCGUGCAAUUACAGUUUGAGAAAGAGUUGGGAGACGAAGAAAAGAACGUAAUAUUUUGAAGGGGGUUUGAGUUGGAGAGUAUUUAUAGAGUUGUUAACUUAUGAGGUUGUUAAAUUGUUAAGUUGAACGAAGACCGGCGGCUCGUAUAUCUUGAAAUGUACCCAUUUCUAGAAUACGUGAAUUAGGCAGGGGGGAAUUUGGAUCAAAUAUUUUUCUCCUGUGUGCGUGGAAAAUGGGAACAUCAUUGUUGACCAGUGACCCAGGCUCCUUCCUCUGCCUUUCGGAUAAUUUCAACGGUCAAAAUAAUAAACCCACAGGUCUUGGAAGAUUCUUGAUCAUAAAUAGUGGCAUUAAGUUGGCUUCUAGCUCUUUUUUUUUUGUGCACUAAGUUGGCAUUAAGUUGGCUUCUAGCUCUUCACAUCAUGCACAUGGUUGUUUUAGAAGAUCCCUAGUGUGAUUGUUUAGAUUUACAGUGUAGAAAAGUACUCCUCUUUUUUUUUUUUUCUUUUUGAGUUUUCUUUCCCUUUCCAAACGGGAGACUGAUUAAUUUAGUCAGAAAAAUAGUCGGAAUAAUGAAAUUAUUUCAAAUAUUUUCCAACCCACCUUGAAUAGUAAAUUUAUUUCAAAUAAUAUUUCACUUGCAUCAUAAAUUCAUUUUCUAAUUCAUACUUUUAUAUUUUCAAUCAUCUUUUUAUCUCACAUAUAUCACAUCAUAAAAAGUGUUACAGUAAUUAUUUCAAAUAAUACUCUGUCCAAACAAACCCAAAGACAGCCGACUCUCUGUGUAUUUUUGUCUGCCUCAGUGGUCAUCGUGUUUCCCUCAACUUGAUUCCGAUUCCUUAAAAAGUUGUAAUCUUCGAACUUGAAAGGAAUAUCUUAUACUCCCUCCGUCCCGUUUUGUUAGUCUUGUUUUCCUUUUUUGUCUGUCCCAAAUUGUAGUCCACUUUCCUAGUAAGGAAUGUAGUAAUCUUUCAAAUUGUCUAAAAUACCCUUAUUAAAUAUCUUGUUAUUAAUACAUUGUUAUUAAAUACUAACCCACUAUAUUGAAUACAUUGAGCUUUUCCAAUACAUAGAUAAAUGAAAAGUCUAUCUUUGUUAUUUAUUGGCACUAUUGGCGGUAAUUGAAACAAUCAGGGUGUAUUGGCGGUAACUGAUAUUUAUUGGCACCAUUAGCUGUAACUGAUAUUAAUUGGCACUCUUCGUGAUUAGCAUAAGGGUAUUUUAGGAAAUUAUUAAUCUAAAUUUAUGUUUCCAACCAAAUUAAUUACACUUUCUUAAUCUGUGUGAAAAAAAAAUUAAGACUAACAAAACGGGACGGAGGGAGUAAUAAAACUAAUUGGAGAUUGAUUUUGUUGAGGGUGCUUAGUUGUCACUCGUGUCCGUUCCCUCUUUCGCUUAUAAAUUAUAAUAAUCCUUUCAACACUUCUUUUGUACCCUAGUCAAGAUUGGUAGAUAGUUCUUUUAAAGUAAACCACAUGCCAAAAUGAAAUUAAUCGACCAAUUGAAAUACACAAGAGAUACAAAUAAAUAGAAUCCAAUAUCCUUUAAUUUCUUUGUAUUUUCGUUCACGGCAACUAGAAUUACCCAACCAAAUCAUCAAGUUCAUGGUGCUUGUGGCCUUGAAAUGGAAUUUUCUCUCCUCCUAAAUUUUUGUAUACCAAAAAUAGAAAACAACCACUUCUAGAACAACCAAGGGCAGCAAAAGAGUUUUAUAAUUACAUGCUUGCCAAAGGCGAAACCAGCGUAUAUUUGGUAAAUUCUUGCCUACAAGAAUAUAUCUUGGAAGUUGGAAGCAUGUUUUUAUCGAGGAGUUAUCUCCCAUUUUAUGCAGUUAAUAGAUGUUUGUGACUCCAAAAAAAAACACACACACACACACUUAAAAAGUGUGUUUGGAUAGAGGAUUAUUUGAGACAAUUUUUUGAGAAAAAUACUGUAACAUUUUUUUUUUGAUGAGAUGUAUAUGAAAUAAAAGAAAAAUUAAAAAAUCUAUUGAUGAUACAAGUAAGUAAAUCAGUGUAUGUAAAUAAGAUGCAAACCAAACUAAUUAUGGUUGUUGCUGCAUGAUUAGACUCUGGCUGGCUUUUACUACAAAACAAAAUUUAACACAGUAUCUGCUGUAUUAAUCUGGAUCUAUUUUUUUUUAUUGUUUUAUUUGAUAAUUGAUACCAAUGAGAGAAUGUGUACAGCUACAAGCAGUAGAUAAAUCAGCAUCGCUUUAGGGCGGCUCGAACAUGCAAAACAUCCAUUGUCCUUGUCAAUAAUUUUGGUUGUGGGGUAUUGAUGUUUGUUUAACGAACUGAAUUAGAAUCCAGAGCAUCUCUCAAACAACUUUGUCCGUGAUUAAUUGUUUUUGUUAAAAAAAACAUUUAUCUUUUUUUUUUUAAGAAAAAUAUUUGCUUUUCCAUUCCGAAUAAUUACUCUUUUAACUCCGAUUUAUGAGUGAGACAACAUGCUAGUGACAUCAAGAAGUAGCUAAGGGAAAAAGAUAAGGCAGAAAUAUUAGUGGAUAAAGCUUUCCAUAAAAUUAGAUGACAUUAACCUGUCCCGAGUAUUCAUUUGCAUUAGAGUUUUCUUUUUUCAGAAAUUCCAAAUAUUUACCUCGUCGAAGAUUAACUUAUGGAUUAACAAUUGGAAUCCACAUAGUCCUUUGAUUGAAGCAAAACAUCAGAGGUAACUUGGUUUUAAUUUGGCAUGGUUUAAACAGUAUACUCUUUGGCAUGCUUUUAUCGUGUGGUUGGAUUGUAAGAAACAGGAUAGCAAUUAAAGACAGGUUAUUGUGAUGGGGAGUUGUUUCAGAAGGAUGAUGUUCUUCAUGCGCCUAUAUGCAAAUGAUUCACUGGAGCACCUGUUUUUCUCUUGUGAAUAUAUAUAGCUUAUGUUUUGGGGAGAGUUCGAAGGCAUUUUUGCUUGUUAUAUAUGGGAUUUAUGGUUGUUCUCAAGAACUUAAUUCAACAUAUUAAUAGGGAUGGCAAUAGGGGCGGGUGACCCGCCCCGCGGGGGGCUAAUGGGGAGGGGGUUGGGGCAGGGGCGGGGGGAAUUUUUUUCCCCCCGCUUAGAAACAGGGCGGGGGCGGGGGGUAACCGCCACCUGCUUUAAAAAAAUAAAUAUAUAAAAUAUAUAUGUAUAUAAUUAUAUAUAUAAUAUAUAAUUUAAUUAGUUACAAACUUAUGAUAAUGAUAUUAUUAGUUAUAUGUAUUAUAUAAUGUCUAUUAGUAUAUAUAAUAUAAUUGAUAUUAUUAAUUAUACUAAUAAUUAUAUAUGUGUACUAAUACAAAUUAUUAAUUGGUUAUACUAAAUUUACUAAUACAUUUAUACUAAAUCCCUAAUUACACUUAAUACAACAACAUUUUUUUCUUAAAAAAAGCACAAGCACAAUAAUGAAUUAGUGAUUGUAUUUGUGCCAAAAGUGAAAACUUGACUACUUUAGUUAUAUUUAUUUCAUCAUGUUGGAUUGUAUUUAAAUAAUUUUUAUUUGAUUGUUUUUGUAAGUUUCAAUUAUAAAAUUACAAUGAAUAAUAAUUUGAUGAUGUGUUGAUAUUUUAGUACUUGAUUAUUUGUUAAAAUUUAACCAUAAUAAAAUUAUAUAACAAAUUUUUAUUAGUCUCGCAGGAGCACCCGCGGGGAAAACGGGGCGGGGGGAGCGGGGGACGGGGGAUGGAGGAGGGGUCCCCCAUCCCUACAUAUUAACUAUGGUUCUUUUAUCACUAUGGUCUGUAAAUGUGCUUUUGCAGUGACUAUUUAUAUUUUAUACCCCCUAUGGAGAGAGGAACAGAAGGCUGCUUUGUAGAAGCACUAUGGCUGCAGAUGCUAUCAUUCAAUCAAUUAUGCAGAUGAUUGGGAAUAUUGUGUAAAUUAGGAGUUUAGUUACAAUGGAAUUUUGUUCCUGAUGUCUUUCCUUUGAAUCAGAUUAUAGUGCAGGAGUUUUACUGCUUUGUGACUGCAUAUUGCUUUUUCUAAUAAAAGUUUAUUAAUCGCCCGAGAAAAAAUAAAGGCCAUGGCUCGUCAAAUCUUGAUUUGCUCCUACGCUAUUGCUGUGCCUAGAGAUUGGCAAUAAUGUUUGAAUUUGUAAAAAUUUAGCCUAAUUUGAAACUUUAACUCAUUUUAAUCUGUCGCGCACUCUCAAAAUACUAUGACACUCAUAUGUAAAUUACAUUAGAAAAGAAAAUUUUGGAAGAUACCAUGUAAUUGCAAGGAAGAUAAUGGAAAUUAUGCUUAUUUGAUGAAUUUCUUAGAGGGCUUAAUCCUAAAAUCCGAAAAAAUAAAUAAAUAAUUUCUAUCCUAGUUUUGUUUUAAAGGAAAAAGAAGGAAAAGAAGACCAAAACUUUUAGGGUAAAGUACAUAAAACCCCCAUGUGGUUAAGGAAAUUGACACGAAACCUCCUCAUUGUUUAGAAACUCUCACUUAACCCUCCUGUGCUUUGGACUUAUUUGAAUUUUACCUGCUAACCGGCUGAGGAGCCGGUAAUAAUAUGAAAUACCAAAAAUACCCUCAUAUAUAAUAUGUGAAAAGUUACAGAUGCAACGAGUCAAUCUGGAGCGGAUGAAAGAAACUGAGAGAGAAACCGGGUUAUUCUCUACCUUGGACAUAGUUUGGAUUAUUCGGUCUUUCAGCUGAAGUAGUUCUUCAGCCUCGGACAGGGGACGCCUUAGGUUCUCUGGAAGAUUUCUAUUUUCCAGAAAUAAGUGUUCUUGGAUUUCCACCAGCGGCGGAGUAGGAAAGCGAGGCACGGAAAAGUGGUGGAGUUGGAAAUUUUGGGAAAGGGUUUUUUGCAAUCCAUCCCAGUCAAUCUCUGGAUGCCGUGGAACUUCAAUCCCCGGUUGACCCAAAUGCAAGUCCAGAUCAAGAUCCCCCAAAUCAGCAUGAGGAAUGGCCUGUUCCAUCGCAUAGGCCACCGGCAGCGGCACCAUAGACAUGAGAAUGAAAGCAAAGGGAAGAAUCUUUGCCGGUCCAUUCACGACGAAGAGUUACCAAAAAACAGCCAAAAUACUGCAAAGAAAGCAAAGGGUCAAGCAUAAUUAGCAAGGAAGACAAACGGUUGAUGAGUAAACCUUGAGCAGGAGCUUUAUCCGAAUGCCAAAGGCAAUAGAAAAGCCCCUUCCACAGCCUUUUCAUAUCAUCCUCGGGAAGUUCGGUUUGAGAGUCUGACAGCCAAGCUUGAAUUAGCUUGAGGGAUUGGGAUUUGAUUGAGGCGUUGCAAGAGGCUAAGUGCUUAAUCAAGGACGGCCCAGGUAGGGCUGAGAGGGUUGCUAAAAAGGGUUUCGGCUUUGGGGUUCGUGGAGGAAGCAGUAGACGUGGUUCCCGUUUUGUCCUUGGCUUUGAUUUUCUGCAUUUUCUGGGUUGCGGUUUCAGAUUGGGAAGCAGUAGACGUGGUUUUUGCUAUUUUUACAGGCUUGGAAAAUUUGCUAACUAAUCCUUAGACUAUUUAUGAAGUUUUAAUAUGGUGCGACUUUUGAUUUACAACUGUUUGCUCCUCCAGCUGCCCAGUAAUAACUCGCAUCGCUCAGCAAUACAGUUACCUUCUUCCGUUUUGCAUCUUUGGCCCUUCCCGUCCAAACUUUGGGUCUUCGUUUUGCAUCUCUGUCGAAAUUUUUCAUUUGCAGAUCUACAACUAUGGUGGGUGCAAGCUUGGAAGAGACAUGGAGGACAAAAUUGGAAUGAAAUGAGUUUCUGCUAGACACAAGUUACCAUUAAGUCGCGUAAAUAUCACUCGCUAGCUCUCCAGCCGGUUAGCAGGUAAAAUCCAAACAAGUCCAAAGCACAGGGGGGUUAAGUGGGAGUUUCUAAACAAUGAGGAGGUUUCGUGUCAAUUUCCUUAACCACAGGGGGAUUUUAUGUACUUUACCCAAACUUUUAUGGCUUUCAUGGGUUCAAGUUUCGUCCAUUCGCGGACAUGCGCAUCCAUCCAAGUCUGCUUUUCGGAAGCCGAGUCCGUUCAUCAAUUUUGGGCGAAAAGUGUGGCUCGAAAUGGACAAGCUGCUUGCUUCGUACUGGUUUUUCCAACCCAUCCAAGGUAAUUCUGACGUGGCUCAGUGGGCUUAUGAAAAAUUGCCUGAUAUGAGACACUUAUGAGGUUUUCUAAUUUUGUUUGAUGUUGGACCGGCCUAGCGCUAAACUCAAACCCAUUUCAGCUUCUCGGUCCAUGCAUCUUGCAAGUUUAUUUUAUUCUACUGCUUCUUGGUCCAAGCAAAUUCUUCUAGGAUAUCUUUAAAGUUUAAUCCAUAUUUGUUUCUGUAAUUUGAAUUGCACUUUAAAACGCCAAAGGCAAAGAUUCAUGGCCGGUAAAACGAAGGCCAUGAGGUUAUAUACUUAAAAACUUAAUUGCCAAACAAGUUGGGUUUUAGGACAUGCUGUCCAAUGACUAGCUUGAUUCGACAUCCUUUAAUUUCUCCAUGAGAUACGAAAGUUUCAGUGCAAUAAGUGUGCCUUUUGACAAUGAGGAACACCAAAAGUCUUUAGGGCUUGGUGAGUGGGAAGCCAACCUUAGCUCUCAUCAUUUGCUAUUUUACGUGGUUUGUCAUUUUAAGUUAUUUUUUUUACAUUCAUACGGAUUUGUAGUGUACCCGUUUGAUCUGAUGAUGGUUGAAUUUUUGUCGAUUUUCCUGUAGAUUCGAUUGGACUUCCCCUAGAAUAGGCUAAAAUAAGAAUAAGAGUAGGUAUAAGAUAGAUAAGCGACAAUUGACAAAAAAAAUAAUAAUAAAGGACCAUGAGGAACACCAGAAAAUUAUAAAAGUCCAUUCAAACACACCCUUGGUCCACACUCUACUCAGUAUUCAACGUUCAAAUUUCAAGUUUCAAUCCAACCAAAGGGCUUUAUUUUCAUUUUCCACUCACCACUCGCUGCACCACAAACUAACAUCAUAAUUCUAGAAAAUGACAUAGAAAUUCAUAGUCAAAGCACAUCCAUUGGAUUCUUUGCAACAAAAUACUUGUAAUUAGGAUCAUCAGACUCCACAGUAGGUUUUGACAAAAAAAAAAAAAAAAAAAAAAGACUCCACAGUAGGAUUUAAUUCGACACUUGGAUUUCUGCCCCUCCUUAGUCAAGCAGAAUAGAAGAUACUUGUAGGGAUCGAAUGGCUUGUGCUGCAACGGAUGCUCAUCAUCAACUAGCUUUUCUAGUACUUGAACCAUCACGUCCCUUGUGAAUGCAAAUAGGCUGAGGGAAUAUCUUUCUUCACUCCCUGAAUUUUUACCCGAGGAAGUGGAGGUUCGAUCCUGCCAUUAGUCCAUGCCUAGAAAGGCCAAAUUAAAACAACAUUUAGAUUGAAAAUUAAGUCAAGCCAGUUUUAAGCAUAGUUAUUAAACCCGACCCGACCCGACCCGGCGGUUGAACCAGUCAAAUUUGUGGACCCGCCAUAAAAUCGGGCAGGAUUGAUAAUUGGAUCGGAGUUGCAGAUGACUCGUUUGGAAUUGUUUGACCCGAACAGUCAAACUAAUGACCUGCCAAACCCGGCAAUUUUUUAUGAAUCCAGCGGGUUUCGAAAUUUUUUGAAAUUAUCGUUUUACCCAAUUUAUUAAUUUAACUGCCCAUAUCAGCAUGGGCAUUUGUUGUCUUUUUAACAAUUAGAUGAGAAAAAUUGAAAAGAAAUUUAGGAUUUAGGAUUUUUUUUCUUUCUUUGACACUUAGAUUUGUCAUUUAUAUUUGUGUAUAAUAUCAAUAUGAAUUAUUGAAUUAAGGAACACGUAUGGGUAUGAAUUAUGAAAUAUGAAUAGGUUAUGGUUUAUUAACAUUUAAGAAUUUUUGUACUUAUAUUAUAAUUUAUAUGUUUAUUUAAUUAUAUUAUAUAGUAUGAUCCGACGAUUCAACCAGUGAUCUGUCGGUUGAAUCACUGACCUGCCAACCUGAUCCUCCAAUCAGGUUAUGAUUUUAAUAAUUAUGAUUUUAAGUAUUACAACUAGUGUAAAUGUCAUAAUAUAUAGGUGUAUACAAAAUGAUUAUAUAUAUAUAUAUAUAUUUAACUUCCGGUAAAUAUGUAAAACGAAUGAAGGUCAAGAAGGCCGUAGUUUAGUUACGAAGAUUGAGAUUUAGGAAUUAGAUCUUGUUUGGAUUGCGGUUUAUUUGUCAAAAUAUAUUUGCUUACAUCAUCAUUACAAUUUCCAAUACACCUUUUUAUCUUUCCAAUUACCUUUUUAUCUCACAUACAUCACAUCACAAAAAGUGCUAUAAUAAAAAUAUCUCUAAUAAUUCACAAUCCAAACAAUUGAAUUUAAAUUUUCUGUUCCUCCGAGCACUUCUUAAAUCUUACUCUCUUAAAGAAGCAAAAAAAAAAAAAAAAAAGUGGUAGAGCGAAGAAAGUAAUGGGACGUGGCAUACCAUACAUACAUCCCCCGCCAUGACAAUGAAAGAAGAAGGAGAUAAGGAAUCAAUAAGCAUCUAUCCGCCAUUCUUGGUCUUGAUCUCUAGACCAUUUACUUGUGCUUGAUGAAGACUGGACCUGAAGGUCCGGUCAGUGUGAUGGAAAAGACCGACAUUGCUUUCAUCUUCUCGGGGCCCCCUGUAAUUGAUUAGCCUAAAAAGGUAGUAAAUGGAUCCGAGAAGUGAUUCACAAUCUUUCUCUACACCGUAAGUCUCUGCCACCAUCCUCAUCACCACAUGAUAUAGUUCAGCAACAAGCUUUGAGUACGAGAGUGUUGUGUCACUGUUCAAUUCAAGAAAUCAUAACCCUGAAAAGCACUAGUAAUUUAACAUGUCAAGUGAAAUAACCACUCCACUGAUUAACUGAUGGCAGAACACGCAUUCACACAUUUAUAAAUGAGUACACACCUAAAAUGAUUGUUUCCAUUGCGCCAUAAGACGUUGGUGAAUUUCUGAACUCCAUCAAAAGUUGUGCCAUUUUCGAUGCCCAAAGCUUCGAGCAAAAGAAUUCUACGGUGUCCGAUCUAGCCAUGAGAAGGUGAAUCAGAAAGUGUCGAGGACUUUGGUUUCCGUCGGGAGAUCAAACAACUCCAGGGAUGCACGAAAGAUAGCCUGGUGAAGUUCCAAGGAAACCUUACCGUAGUUCGCUAUGAAACAGCCAUACUCUUCCAGGGCUCAAACAACUUCUUCCCGUGUCGAGAGCCAACGAGUAGAACUGGGAUUCAAGGUUUGCCCAGUGAAGUCUAGAACAGGAAGCUGGUUUUGCCUUGAUACAGAACCCAUGAAAAGAAUCGAGUAUCCUGUUGGUAGCUGGCUUUGCUCGGAGUUUUCCUAGUUUUAGAAAUGGCAAAGGAAAAUCUUUGGUAUAUGCUAAUAGCUAAGUACUACUACCAUUCAAUUCACGCGUACGAUACUUAUAAUUGUGGGUGGAAAAGGGUGUUAUGGCAUGUACUCCACUUUCUUUCUCCUUUUUUUUUGGAUAAUUUUUGUUCACCUCUAAUUGCUCUCGUAAUAUAGAGCAUCUGGUAGCAUUUUAUUCAUGAUUAGUGCACAAUACUGAAGUACAGUGAAGGCGUUAAGCAUUAAUUAAUGGAAAGCUAAGUACAUGGAAUGCCUUCAGCAUUUUAUUCAUUAUUAACUAUUAACUAUUGAUAAUUUGAUAUGGUAGAAUAAACGUCCUUUCCAACAUAAACUCAAAAAUCCCCUUUCCUACAGCAGUGCAGCUUAUCUGCUGUUCCUACAAGGCUACAACUCGGGACGGCUCCCUUCGAUACAUUGUCCCCUUGGAGUCACUACUAUUUUAAACGUAUUCAGAUGCGGUAAGAAGCCUUUUGGGUAGAGUAGUUGGACAUUGGGUAUAGGUCAUGGAAUCAAAAUCUCUUAAUUUGUAUUCUAUAAAUUCGGCUUAUAUUCUAAAAAUUCAAGAUUUCCUGAAAAUUUCAUCAGAGUGCAUAGGAUCCCCUAUUAUAAAGUAAGAAUAUGUAUAGAAUAAAAUCUAUCGUAUUAAAAAGAAAAAGAAAAAGAAGCCUUUUGGAUCGUGAUCUUGCAAGUUGUAAUAUCAUAUCUUGUUACUAUCAGAUGGGUCAUGAGGGACUCCAAGGCAAUGAGAAAAAAAAAAAAAAAAUCUCCUCAUAAUAAUCCUAACUUGUUUUAGGAUAAAUUGAGUCACAACUCACACAUGAUUCAAUGCCUCAUUCUUUGGCUUCAUAACAGCUAUACUUGAAAUGCUUUUUGAUCUUAAUAGACAUCGUCUUAGUAACUAGGCAUGUCAUGGGCAAUGUUUGAAUUAUAUCCCUUUGAUCCAGAUUCAAGCUCAUUAAAUUUAGUUAGACCCAAUGUCAAACCCUUUUGGGUCUGAGAAAAAAAGUCCAUACCCAAAUUCUCUUGAAUUUGGGUAUCCAUUAGGUAUUCGUUAUAUUUUUGUAAAUGUACUAAAAUAAAAAUAUAUUAAAAAUAUAUAGAUUUCAAAAAAAUAUAUAAACACCAUCCAAUUUUUAUUUUCAAAUAAUAAAAUUAAUAUUCAAAAAGUUGAAUGCAAUGUUAUGAACUCAAAAAAAUAACUACUAUCAACUACUUUUAUUUAUUUUUAAGGAAAAAUUUCAGAUAUCUCUCCCGAGGUUUCUAACAGUCUCACUCCCUCCCCCUAAGGUUUCCAAAAUAUCACAAACUUCUCCCGAUAGACUUUUGGGUUCUAUUUCUUUCAUCAUCAUAGUCAAAAAGACUUAAAUACCCACACAACUUAGCAAAUAUUUUGUGAUUAUCUAAACAAAUUUAGUUAAGUUAGUUAUAAACACAGUUAAAGUAAUUAACAAUAAAUUAUGUUCCUUUAAUGAAUACAUAAAAAGGCUUUAGCAAAAUGACGCCAAAAUAUGGCGCCAAUUGGUAUAUAUAUAAAGCUGCAGGUACAUAUUGUCACUUCUCCUUAGUCUCUUCCAGCCAUUUUUGAUCAUUUGCAAAGAAUGACCUUUUUCCAUGGCGGUAGGGAUUGAAUCUUGCUUAUAAAAAGAUGAUUCCAUUAGCUACUAGGCGGUACUGCUGCCACCACAUUUGCAGCAACUUUAGGCUUCAGUUUCCUGGACUAUUAUUGAACGAUUUAUUCUGGAAAGCUGCUAAGAGCUAUGAUGCAAUAGGUUACAACGAAGCAAUAAUGAGCAUUAAAGACAUUAAUGUAAAAGCAUGGAGAUACUUAUCAAAGAUUUCACAUGAAUCUUGGAUUAGGCACGCAUACUCAAAUGAGAUGAAGUGUGAUAUGUCACAAAUAAUUUUACUGAAUCUUUCUUCAUGCAUAGCUUCACUUACACCCCUUCAAGUUUUAUUUUUGGUAAACUUCCUGUUUAUUCUUCAUGUGAUAUUAGCUCAUAAUGCAAGACAAUGAGGUCAUAGUUGUUUCUCUCUCCAACUCCCCAUUUUUUGUUGUUACUUUUUUUGAAAUGGGUUGGAUUUGAGAAUGCCUAUUUAGUUUUAGGGGAGGUUUGUGAUAUUUUGGAAACCUCAGAGGAGGUAUCUAAAAUUAUCCCUAUUUUUAAAGCUUCGACUAUAUUUACAUUUCAUCUUUCAUUUAUUUGCCUUUAUUUUUUCUCCUUUUUUCUUAAAAAGUUUGUACAAAUUAUAAUGACAACUAGAUUGAAAAAAGAAAAUAAUCAUGAAGUCUUAUUGUAUUCAGUCCAAUAACCAUAGAAUAUUAGAAUAUUAUAUAAAUUUACUAAUAUAUAUAAUUUAAUUAUAUAUAUAUAUAUAUAUAUAUAUAUGAAUCUGGAUAGAGUCUGGUGUGGGUUUGAAUUUAGAUAUAAAUAAUAAAAAAUCAUACACUAUCCAGACCCAUAACUUUUUUACAGGGCUUGGGUCUGGGUAGGGUUUAGAUCUGAGAAAUUAAAUUCAAACCCUACUCAAGUACAUUGGGUUUGAAUUGGAUCUAAAUAAGGUCCGAUCCAUUGACAUGUCUAUUUGUAACUAUAAACACACACACUUGCGUGUAUUAUUCCCUUGUAUUUAACAAAUUUAUCUAUUUAACUUCAUUCUAUUAAAAAUAUAUUAUUAUUUCUCACCAGUGCCCGCAAGUUGUUUGCUAACAAGCAAGUUUUUUACGCUGAUUCAGAUAAGACUGAUAUGUUUUUCUCUUUAACUCUCCUUGUAAUAUCUUAUUUCUACCAAUGCAGUUUUCACAUUAACAAUAAAAUUAAGUUCUAUUCUGCUUACCUCUUGUUAGAAGAAUCUUUUCCAAUCUUUUCUGUGGGAAAUACCGAAGGUUACCUUGAUAUUUUUAAAAGUCAUUGGUGAAGAAUUUAGUAAACUCGUCCUAUUGGUCUAUCGUUCAGAAGGAAAAAUUUCAUCAUCUUUUAUGAGCAAGGGUUUAUUUUCAAUGGCUUUGAUUCAAACGAACAAGGCUUACCUCAAUGUUUCUAAUCUUUUUGAAUAAUUUUGAUGAUGGGGUCCUUAAAAUAUUUUGGUUCAUCACGAUAUAUUUUAUUAUUCAAGAUUCAUGAUUUCUAUAGGUAGGGUUUCCUUUCUUUCUAAUCUUAAAAAAUCUCCUUUUCCAAUUUCAUAGUUUGUAAGAACUGGAGAGUAGUCCCAGUACUCACAAUUAGGGGUGGCAAUUCGGGUCCAAAUCAGGUUGACGGGUCGGGUUCGGGUCAACCCGUCAGAAAAUCUGUUGACCCGAACCCGACCCGCCAACCCGUGACAGGUCAGGUAUGCUGACCCGAAUCCGAAAAUUUCGGGUUGGCGGGUCAACCCGAAAUGAUCCGAAACUUAAUUUUAAUUUAUUAAUUUAUCACUGUAAUUUCUAAUAAAAUCAAUUUCUCACAAAACUAAUUACAUAAUCAAGUAAUAAAAAUUUAAAUAAAUAAUUCCAAACCAAAUCUAAAAUAAAUUAAACACCGUAAAAGUGUUUUAUCCCAAACAAAAUAUAAAAUAAAUUAAAACAAUAUAAAAGUAAAAAAUAAUAUAAUAUAUUCUUUGUCCAAAUAUAAUAAUUUCAACUUCACACAAAUUAAAUAAAUUCAUUUAGGAUUAAGUAAUUAAUGCCUUUGAAAAAAAGAAUAACUUAGUUUAGUUAGAUAAAAUUAUUUUUAUGUUUAUUAAAUUAUUUUUAAUUCGUAAACGGGUUAUAUCGGGUCAUAUCAGGUCACCACGGGUUGACCCGAAAUCGACCUGUUUUCUUUUCGGGUUCAUCGGGUCCAACCCGAUUCUGACCCGAAUUCCCGAAACCUCAACCCAAACCCAUUAAUUUCGUGUUAGGUUCGUGUCGUGUUUUCAGGUCGUGUCGAAAAUUGCCACCCCUACUCACAAUCCUGUAUUUCGCCAGACACAUUAGUACAGUUUUGGUGAUAUCAAUUUUUUAUAAUUAUUUAGGAUUUAUCUUUUUUUAUAUUGACCAUGCAUUCAAUAGUAUCAUUGAACGUAUAACAAUUAAUUUAAAUUUGAAUUUAAAAUCUAAAUUUUAUACAUUUCAAUGUGUUUACACUAUUAAUACUAGGUGCAUUUAAUAAAAUUGAAAUUUGAAAUCUGAAUUUUGAAAUCUGAAUCUAUUAAAUUACUAAAUUGUUAAUUAUUAAAUAUGAUACAUUUGAAUGCACUUAUUUUUUUGGAGCAAAUUUUGUUUAAACAAUUCAGUGUCAUUUAAUUAAUUCAGAUGUUCCACUUUUUUUAUGAAGCACAUCUGAAUAUAUUAAGAUUUAAAUUUAUUAAAUUUAAAUGCUAAAUUGAAUUAUCAAAUAGAGCUUAUAUAAACUUACGACGAAAUUCUCGUUACAAAUUCGUAGAGGCACUUGUUAGUGAUGAAAAUCAAAACGGAUUUGCUAUACGAGCCCAUUAAUUGCCCAGAUUUGGCAACUAAAGUUGAGUAAGACAUUUGAAUACAUUUAUUUUGCAAGAAAAAUUAUGGGUUUGUAGAAGUGAACAAUCAGUAGAGGCCGAAAAAUGGAAUUUAUAGCUUGGACUAAGACACUGCAACACCUGACCAAUUUUGUUACACCUUCGGCCCAUUUUGGUUACCAUUUUCAAGCAGUCUGCCUCAAAUUUCCAUUUUUAGGUUCCGUUUGAUAAAACUGAAUUUGAAUUCUGAAGUCUGAACUCUAAAAUCUAAAUACUGAAACAAUUAAUUUACUGAAUUUUAAGCACUGAAAAGAAAUAUAUGAAUGUCUGAAUUUUAAUGUUGAACCUAUUUAUAUUAUUUGAUACGCAUUUAUACUGAAUGCUUAAUAAGUUAAAUUCUUAUAUCUUUUCAUCCAAAAAAGAAAUAGAACCUAUGAUUUAAUUAGUUUAAAAUUUUUAGGCAUGAAAAUGACAAUAUUUAUUUUUAAAUCAAAUUAAUAUAAAAGAUGAAAUAUAUUAUAUGAUGGGUAUGGAGAAGAUGUGAAAGUCAUUAGAAAGGAAGAAAAGAGAAAUAGAAAAUCAUUAGAUAGAGAAUAUUAAGUUGUUUAAUUAGAUAAGAAUUUUGAAUAUAAUUAAUAAAUAAGGGUAGAUUUGGUAGAUAACAUAAGAUAGUUGAAGUUAUUCUAUUGAUUCUUAUCAAAAUUAAGCAAUUAAUUAGGAUUCUUGUGUUGAAAAAAAUACACACAAGUUCAGCACUACUUAACAAAUUCAGCAAAUGUAUUUUCAUUUAUUAAACACUCAAAACAUCUGAAUGUCUGAAAAAGUUCAGAUUCAGUACUUUUUAAUGUUAUCAAACAGACCCUUAGUAUAGGACAACCCAGGUCACCGGAUCUCCUAAGCUUGGUCAAAAAAAAAAAAAAAAAAAAAAAUUGCUCACUCUGAAUUGAAUUGUUUAAAGUAAAUUAUCAGGAUCCGUUUGACUGAGCAUGUUUUUUGGUGUUUGUUUUAGGGAAAAAAAUUAAUGUUUGUUCAAAACUAUUUAUUUUUCCAAAAAAAAAAAUUUCCUAUCUAAUACUAUAUGUUUAUUGAUAUUUUUUAAAAUUUAUGAGUAUUUUAGAGUGCUAUCGUAAAUAACUAGACUUUCCAUACCUUCAAAACAGAGCUGCCAAAACAGUCCUAUCAAUCUUAAUUCGAACUAGUCAAAGAGAGGUAAAAAACAGAUUUUAUUCUCCAGAAAUCAAAUCAAACUAGUCAAAGAAAAGAAAAGAAAAGAAAAGAGGAUGCUUGUGGGAUUUUCUAUCGAGAGAUCAACUUCAAGAUAAUAGCACAGCAAACAAAAAGAUUGGAAGACUCGCUUAUUGGAAUAUUCCUGUAGUGGACAAAAAGAUUGGAAGACCUUUUAUGAUUCUAUUAUCGGAAUACUAAACAGUCAAAUGAAUGGAGGACCCAUAGAUCUUAUUAAUCUAGCUCAAAAAUCUUGAGAAAUCAAUAACGCAAUAUAGCUAAAAAUCCUUUAGAAAUCAACUGUGUGAAAUUUAGACACUUGACAGGUGACGAAACUGUGUAAUAAUAAAUACUUACUCACGAAAAUAUAUAAACGAAUAUAAUGGUAAAUAAGAUUGUUUUUACAGGGACCAGGAGAAGAAUUUGUCUCUUUCCAAAUAAAAACUAAUUGAGAGUUUUGAGAAAUUAAAAUUAAAAUAAAUGAUCAGCGUAAAUAAAAAAUAAUUAAAUUAAGACAAAUUAAAUUCAAAUCAAGAAUAAACAAGCUCUAGUCAAGGAAAAAAUUUCAAAAGUGGUUCAUAAAACAGUUCAUCAAUGCAAUAAUUAUUUCAUCUAUACAUUAAAAAACAGGUUAUAGUUGCCAAUAUGCGAUGACAACCAACUUUUUCUUACCGUCUCGAUAGUUAAAGUACGUCCGUUAACUACUUUCCUAACCAAAAAAUAACGCUAGGUACCCCCAGAGAAUUUAAUUUUUUGAUUACAUUAUAAAAUAGAAAAAUCAUGUUCUAAUCAAUAAACACACUACCAAAAUUUAUUUAAAUUAGAUUAUAUGUUUUCCUAACAUCACGCGAGUCACCAUUAAUUUAAAAUAAUUAAAUAAUUAUGAAUUUAAUUGUCUUAAGUGGCGUUAGUUUGCUAAGGUGAAUUAAAUAUCGGGUGCUUUUGAUAUUCAAUCAACAAAACAACCAUAAAAAAUUAAAUUAGAAAAAAUAUAUGAAUACUAACAAAUAGAAGAAAUAGGUAAAAUAAUUAGAUCUUACAGAUGCAGUUGAACCAAAUCGUUCACUAUCUCUUGACUAGAAAAAGAAAAUUGGUUGCCUUCCAUUGGGAAUAAACCAAGCAACUUCAUUGAUAAAUGUUGUAUCAGCUGGGUUCGAUAAUAGACAAUGAAAGGGAAAAGAAAAGCCAAGAAACGACCGCCCCUCGUUCUUGCCUCUAGUCCCGGCUAAAUAAAUAGAUUCUCUCUCAAAAUUUAUCAAAAGCCAAAUCCUUCCUCGACAUGUUUCCUUUCGAAGCUAUUACUUCUACUAAUAUUUCUAAUUUCCUAUGAAAGGAAUAUUUUCCUAAAUUAACAUAAGAUAAUUCAUUGUUGUUUUCCAAUACAAUUUGGAAACACACUUCUUAGGUCUUCAACUUAAAUUGAGAAACUACCACGCACAUAAUUUUCAACUUCUCCGGACUUGAAGGCUAACUUUAGGUUCGGCCACGAGGAACAAGUUAAAAAUCUUCAUUAAACCACUUUUUACUUCAUUUCUUGUCAAAUUCCUAUGGUCAGUACCAAUUGUCAAAUAUAAGUAGAAUCCAUCUAAUGCUAUAAUAUUUGGCAAAUAUCAAGGGAAAAUAUUCACAAUUUAAUAUCCAUUAUGCAUCCUAUCAAUUCCUCGCACACCUAAACCAUGUUUAUUCUUAAGUAUGAAAACAACCAAUCAAACAAUCGCGUUCAAACAGUGGCUAUCACUCAAAUCAUUUAUUGCCAACGUAUAAUUAAAACACACGUCAAGCAUUAGUGGCUAGUUUUUAAGAAAUAUCUCUCCGAUUAGUUUUUAAAACCAAUAACUUUUUCACUUUCUAAAUCACUAAUCUAAGAAUAUAAAUAUUCAACCAACAUUCAUUAGCAAAUAGUUCGACUAUUAAGCAAAAUCUCAAUACUAAAACUCAUGGAUUAGUAGGCUAACCAUUCACAUACUCUUACUUUCAUAUACAUUUUUUCAUUUUUCACCAUUAGCACAACUUUUUUCUCCUUUCUAAGAUGUCCUUAUAUUUGAUUUUUUCCUAUUUUUAGGGGGAAUGCUUGGUUCUUAACCAUUCAAGUUUUUUAACCUGAAUUUCAGCAUCUACCAAAUAAAUCAAUCCGGUUACUCAAUUCUCAUUGCCAUCGAAUCACAUACUUAUAAUUAUUGUCACUUUUUAAUGCGAAAGUCGACACUUGUGAUAAAAAUUCCCUGUUAACAGACAGCGAUAAUUAGUGCAGUAUAGCCAACUACUUGUCAUAAAUAAGUAUCAAAAAUAAAAUUAAAAACCACAUCAACCUACUUCAUUUUUCAACUACGAAGAACUAAAAUUAAUAAUUGAACCAAUAUUUAUUAAAAAUGUCAAAAAAUAUUUACAAUUCAUAAAAUCUCAAAUAUCAUCAGAGAGAUACUUUUAGAUCUUACUAUAUCAUACUUAACACAUUAAUAUAUAAAAUCUUAGUAAUAAAAAAUUUGAGACAUUUAGCCAUUAUUGAUUAGAAUUAACCACAAAAUUGCACAAAAAUGAAAAAAAAUAAAUAAAAUUCAAAAACUUUAACAAAAAGUUCAAUCUAAACGCCUAAAAGGAAUAGUACCACUAUACUAUACCCCCCAAAAGAAUCGAAAGGGAACAACAAAACUUUUUUGAUCAGCGAGGGGGGUAUAGCAGCUAUGGAUAAGGGGCAAAAGGAGGAGUACAAUAGACAGAAUGGUUGCAGCGCUGACCAUAACUAGCAAAGGCGAGCAGUGAUGAUGACGUCCAAACUCGAUGACAUUUUCUAAAUGGCGAUGGAAAAGAGUUCGUCGUUUGGAAUAUAAGGGGGAAAGAAAAAAAAUGAAAAGAAAGAAAGAGAUAAGGAAAAAGAAAGAAAAGAAAAGAAAGAGAAUAAUUAGAAUUUUGGGAUUUUUUUGCUCCCCUUUGUUGGAAUAAGACGCGGGCAUGUCUUAUUACUCUGUAGUUUUCUAAUAAUGAUUUUGAAAUUUUUACGAGAUUCAGCGCGCUCUCAAAACGUGGCACGUUUUGUUUCCCGGUUGUCUUUUGAAAUUUUUGAAAUUGAAAUAUGAACUUGCCAGUCAGUUAGACGUGGGCACGCCUUGCUGGAUAGCAGUUUUCUAUCCACUAAAAUAGUAAAACGAAAGUCAAACACAUAAAAUAUAAGAAAUUUAAACUAAAAAUAAUAAAAAUGAUAACAAUGAACUUAAAAUUGAAUUAGGUUGUCUCCUAAUAAGUGCCUUUUUUUAACGUUCUUGGUUAGACAUAAUGUAUCAUUUUUCAAUUCAAUUGUAAUUCAAACUUUCUUGCAAUUGAUGAAAUUUCUCCAGGAUCCAAAUCACCACUAUAUAUAAUCACCUUCUUUAACUUUUUAUCCAUUUUCACAUCAUAAGUUACUUUUAACCCAUGAUGCUUGGUCGCAACAAUUUUUAACUUACCCCUGUAAUUAGAUUCAGAAAAUUCUCGCACAAAGAGAUUAAUAGUAUAAAUGACAAACAUAAAAUGAGAGUUAAUAGGAUAUUUCAUUGCGUCAAAAAUAUUAAAAUGGAUUACUUCUUCAACAAAUUCUAUCGUAAGAAUAACCUUACUAACAUCAAUCUUAGUUUGAAUAGUACUCAAGAAGGAUUUCCCUAAUAUAAUGGGUGAUGAAUUUGAAACGCUUCUAUCAUUCAUCUAAAGCACAUAAAAAUUAGUAGGAAAAACUAAAUCCAUUAACUUGCACUAAAAUAUCUUCAAUCACCCCAUCCGAAUAAGCAAAUGAAUAAUUAGAUAAUUAAAUUAUUAUCCCCGUUUCUUUUCAAAAAUCCUAAAUUUAGAGAAUCAUAAAUAGAUUUAGAUAUCACAUUAAUAGAAGUCCUAAAUCUAGUAUGAUAUUUUUUAAUUCUAAAAUAUCCAAUCGUACAGGGGAUAGUAAACAUACCUGAAUUCCCACAUUUAAGUGUUAGUUUUCUUUGUAAAAUCACUGAAACAUUUUCAUCUACAUGAUUUGCUCAUCCCCUUUUAAUUUCUUCUUAUUAAUGCACAAGUUCUUAAAAAAUUUAGUACAUUUUGAUACUUGUUUGAUUGUUUCAAUAAAGAGAUAUUGAUUGCCAUCUUCCGGAACAUCUCCAAAAUUUCUUUUUCUUUGACUUGUCGUUUUGACAUCUCCAACCUAUUAGGGAAAGGUUGGGGUUAGUAUUAAUUUUAAUUGAAGAGUCCAAAGUUACCACAAGAGUUGCCUUGUUUAUUUCUUCUUUUUUCAACUCAUUUUUAAUUUGAUUUUCGCUCUUAUCCUUCGAAACUAUAGUUUUGGACCUUUCAAUUUCCUUUCCACUUUGAAGGGUCAUGGCGCUAACGUUCUUAGAAUUCACCUCAAUCUGAGAAAGGAGUCUUCCUUUCUCUUGAGACUCCAAGCAAUGUAUUGUAUGGGUCAUAUGACUCAUCUGAUUUUAUAUAUCUCGUAUACUUGGCUUCGUUUUUUGUUGGAAUUGCAAAGUAUUAGAAACCAAUAUUUUUAGCAUAUCUUCUAGAUGGUUAUGAAUUAGGAGUAACGGGUUAAGGUCUUGAUAGAUACUGCAGUUGGAAUCCUUGCUGUCUAUUGGAAAAGAAAUUUUGUUGCUUAUUUUUCUCAUAACUGAAAUUUGGGUGGUCCCUACAACCUAAAUUGUAUGUGUUGGAAUAAGAAUUAUAUUGUUUGCAUGGCGCAGACACGUUACCAUCCAUGUUCAUUUGUUCAACACUAUCAUCCUGUAGCAUCGGGCAUUUAUUAGUAAGAUGGCUAGUAUCUUUGCAAAUUUCACACGCCUUGACUUGUUCCCUACUGCCAUCUGUCAAAUCAUAGAUGUUAAUUCAGACAAUUGCACUUGAAGUAAUGAAAUAUUCACCUCGUUCACUCGACGAGUUGGCACAUCAUCCCAUGUGCCAAAUUAUUGGGAAUUAUCAGCCGUCUCUUCAAUCAAAUCCCAAGUUUAUCGAGGAGUCUUGUUCACUAAUGCACCUUCACUUGUGGCAUUAGUGAUGCUUCUAUUUCUAUAGAGUAAGCUUUUAUAAAAGUAUUGAAUGAGCAAUUGAUCACUGAUUUGGUGCUGCAGGCAAUUGGUGCACAAUUUUUUAAAUAUUUUUCAAUGCAUAGAUAUUCUCUGGGUUGCUGCUUAAUACCAUAAAUUUCUUUUUACAAAUUGGUAGUUUGGGAUGUAGAAAAAUUUUUAGAAAAAUUUUUUUCUUCAUAUCUAUCCAUGUUGUAAUGCUCCCCACGAGCAAAUAGUAUAGCCAAUUUUUGACAGCUUCUUUUAAUGAAAAAUGGAAGGCUCGCAUCUUAAUCUGCUCCUCUGUGACAACAAGUGGCUUCAUACUCAAACAGACAACGAUGAACUUGUUAAGGUGUUUGUGGGACUCUUCACCUGAUAAACUAUGAAAAUUAGGUAAGAUGUAAAUUAAUCUUGAUUUUGAUUCAUAUGUUACAUUUUUAACAAAAUCAGAAAAAGUAAUGACGUUACUGAUUUAAAUCAGGAGCAGCCAACUCCGUUAAGGCCCGGUUAUUGUUUGUCAUCGUAACUUCUUCCUGCUCAGAAUCAUAGGAAGAAUCCAAUAAAUUCACAACCAAAUUAAACCCCAGAGAUGCAGCAAAUGAUUGUUCUCCCUUUCAUAUUCUAGUUUCUUUUCACAACCUACGUGCAGUCUUCUUAACCUCGGGAUUGAAGAUUAAAUCACUUGUACGAGAAAAAUAAGGUAUAAACUAGCAAAAAUAUCAAAAACUAAAAUAAAAUAAAUACAAAAAAAUUAAUCAACGCCAAUCCCCGACAACGACGCUAAAAAUUGACAGGUGUCGAUCUUAUGCAAUAAUAUAUUCCUGCUCACGAAAAUAUAUAAACGAAUAUAAUAUUAAAUAGAGCCAUUUUCACAAGGAUUAGGGAAAGAAUUUAUCUCGGUUCAAGUAAAAAACUAAUUGGGAAUUUUGAGAAAUUAAAAUUAAAAUAAAUGAGCAAUGUAAAUAAAAAUAAUUGAACUAAGAUAAAUUAAAUUCAAAUCAAGAAUAAACAAACUCUAGAUAAGGAAAUAAUUUCGGAAGUGGUUCAUACAACAGCUCAUCGAUAGAAUGAUUAUUUCAAUUACUCGUUAAUAAACAGGUUAUAGUUGCCAAAUACGCGAUGACAAUCAAUUUUUUCUUACCAUCUCGAUAGUUAAACUAUACCAGUUAACUAUUUUUCUAACCAAGAAACAAUCCUAAGCAUAUCCAUAGAAUUUAAUUUCUUGAUAGUCUUAAAAAUUAAAAAAGUCCUAUUCUAAUCGAUAAAAUCACUACUUGAAUUUAUUUAAAUUAGAUCAUAUAUUUUCUUAACAUGAAACGAAUCACGUUAGGCACCACUAAUUGAAAAUAAUUAAACAAUUACAGAUUUAACUUAACUGGCGUUAGUUUGCUAAGUUGAAUUAAAUAUCGAGUGCCCUUAAUAUUCAAUCAACAAAACAACCAUGAGAAAUUAAAUCAGAAAACGUACGAAUUUUUUUUUAUCGAAACGUUAGGAUCAUUUUCAUUCCAAAGUGUAAACCACACAGUACGAGCAAAUGCUCGAAAUAUCUGUACAAACCAGAGCUCAAAAGCACUGAGGAACAAUCCAUUCCUCAUCCACUAUUAUGCCAAAGGCAUGAUGACUUAAACAUUUACUUCUUUCUAUUCUUUCAUCCCUAACAGACCUAAACAAGCACAUGCGAAACAAUCUCUGCAUGUUAAGAAUGUCCUCUAUCAAAGUAGCUAAACUGCUGUUGGAGGGGCACCUAUUCUUCAUCUGUCUCAUCAGAUCUUGGUUAUGGAAAUGGAUCGCAAUUCUGCUCCAUCCCUGCUCUAGAGCUUUACACAGAAUCAGUUUUAUGGCCACUGCAUCAUUAAUGGUUCUGUUACCCAAACUUCUCUCUCUAAGUGCCCAUUCUGCCAGUAAAGUGUUUGGAUGCCUCCGCACUCUGACCCCAAUCCCCAAAGGGACUUUCCCUACCUGACUCUCUGUUGCCACCUCCAUAACAAUUGUGUCUGCUUCUUCUAGCUCUUGAAAAGGUUCUUCAGUGAUGGGAGUUGUUUUUCCUGUGCUUAGCCUAGUUAUCCUACUUAAGCUUCCCUCCUGUUCCAACCACUCCUUAUGGGCUUUACUUAUAGUCCUAGCUGGUAAACAACUGCCUUUGUUUUCAAACUCUUUUUUGUUCCUUUCUUUCCACACCUGCCAUAAAAUGUUCGCUGUCAGACCAAUAUGCUCCAUCCCUCUUGGCCUUCUCCUAGCUUCUGAUACUGUGAUCCGCCAUCGUUUAAAACUCCCUUGCUGGUCCACCACACCAUCCCACUUUAUUGGAGCAACCUUCCAGACCUCCUGUGUGUGCGGGCAGCUGAAGAAUAAGUGUUCCACUGAUUCUUGUUCUUCCCCACACAUUCGACACACUGGAUCUCCCAACCUUGUCUUCCUAUAGAUUUCAGCUCGCACUGGUAGUGCACCUGUUAUGCAUUUCCAAAUGAAAAUUUUGAUCUUAUGUUUAAUGUUGAGCUUCCAUAAUGUUUUCCACAUUUGUCUGGCUGACUGACUUCCUUCUCUGAUGCUUGAACCAGCGGCCUCUACUUGUUCCUUUUCAGCUUCACUUCUCUCCUUCAUAAGGAAUUGAUAGCCUGAGCUGACCGUAUACUGCCCCCCUGCAUUAUGCUGCCAAUAAUAACAGUCCUCUCUCCCAGUCAGACUUAAGGGGAUGUUUAAGAUCUUCUCAGCAUCCUUAUGAUUGAAAUACUUAAAGAUGGUGUUCCUAUUCCACCUCUGUUGGUUAAUUAACUCAUGCACCAUCUUACAUUCAGAAUUUAGAGGUCUUGGAGUAGUUGGCUUCCCAGAACUGGAUCCAGGAAUCCAUCGAUGACCCCAAAUACUUGUACUCCUCCCAUUGCCAAUCCUUCUAAUCAUUCCUUGAUCAAUUAAGCAUCUGGCUCCUAGUAAUCCUUGCCAGAACCAAGACGCAUUCCUAUAUGUUUUGCAUGAUAAGAUGGAGUCUUUGGGGAAGUACCUAGCUUUCAGCACUUUACUAACCAGAAGGUUCGGUUUAGUGAUUAUCCUCCAAAUCUGCUUCCCAAGCAAGGCUUUAUUAUAAGCUUCAAUGUCCUUGAAUCCCAGGCCUCCUUCAUUCCUCUUCAUUGACAUUUUCCUCCAGGAAACGCAAUGCAUUUUAUUCUUGCCAUUUGUUUCUCCCCACCAGUAGUUGGCCAUCAGAGAGCUGAUGUCUUUACACAUCUUCCUAGAUAGUUUGAAAACAGACAUGGCAUAAGUAGGCAUUGCCAUUGACACUGCCUUGAGGAGUACUUCCUUACCUGCAUUACUCAGAAACUUAUUCCUCCAGUCCUGCAUCUUACUUCUUAUAUUUUCCUUGAUGAACCCAAAGAUCUGGUCAUUAGUCCUGGCAAUCACCAUUGACAGCCCCAAAUAUUUGCCUUGUUUUAUCUCUGCCAUUCCUCCUAUGGAACUGCACACUUCACUUCUAAGCUCCCUCGAUACAUUCUUGCUGAAGAAGAUAGCUGAUUUAUCCAAGUUGACCAACUGUCCUGAAGCCUUUUCGUAUGUUCUGAGAAUUUUCAUGAUUUCAGUAGCUUGCCUGGUGUUGGCUUUACAAAAAAUGAGUGAGUCGUCAGCAAAGAAAAGGUGAGUGAUGAGAGGACCUUGCCUGCUGAUCCUCAGACCAUUUAAGUCCUUCCUCUCCUCUGCUUUCUUCAAUGGGUUGGAGAAUCCUUCUGAGCAUAUCAGAAAUAAGUAUGGAGACAGAGGGUCUCCCUGCCUUAUUCCCCUUUCUGGAGUAACAAAACCUUUCGAUUCCCCAUUGCAGUUGAAGGAAUAAGUUACUGAACUCAAGCAGCUAGUAAUCCAGUUGAUCCAUCUUGCACAAAAGCCCAUCUUCUGCAUCAUAACUUGCAAAAAAUGCCACUCCACUCUAUCGUAUGCUUUGGCCAUGUCAAGCUUAAUUGCCAUGAAACUUUCUUUCCCUUGUCUUUUAUUUUUGAGGUAAUGCAUGUACUCAUGACCUAGGAUUACAUUAUCUAAAAUCUGCCUAUCUGGGAUAAAAGCUGAUUGGGUGUUGCUAAUGCAUUUUCCUAGAACCUGUUUCAUUCUAUUGGCCAAAAUUUUGGAGAUGGCUUUGUAUAUAACACUACACAAGCUGAUGGGUCUGAAGUUCUUCAAGCAAGAAGGGUGCAAAGUUUUGGGGAUGAGGGAAAUAACCGUGUGAUUUAUAGAUUUUAGCAUGUGGCCUGAGCUGAAAAAGGCUUGAAUGGCUGGAGUUAGAUCCCCUUUGAUAAUGCUCCAAAACCUUUGAAAGAACAAGGGGGACAUGCCAUCCUGACCUGGGGCUUUAUCAGACUGCAUGGAAAAAAUAGCUGACUGAAUUUCUUCUUCCUCUACUGGUUUAGUCAAAUUUGUAUUCAUAUCCUGAGUAAUAGAGUGGGGAAUACCCUCAAGGAUCUCUGCCAUCUCAUUCCUUCAUCCACUUGUAAACAAUUCUCGAAAGAACCCAGAAAUUUCUGAUACUAUUUUUUCUUCACUUUCAGCCCAAGAGCCAUUCUCCCUCUGCAGUUUUCUGAUUCUAUUCUUAAUCCUUCUCCCCUUCACCAAGGCAUGGAAGUACUUGGUGUUUUUAUCUCCUUCCCUGAGCCAGUCAAGUCUAGCCUUUUGGCUCCAGAAUUUCUCCUCCUCCUGAUAUGCUUCCUUAAGCUGGUGUUUAAGCUCAGUCCUCUUCUCCUUCUUACUGGGAGCCUCAGAGCUACUUAAGGCCUCCAGUCUUUCCUUUACCUCUGCAAUUUUCCUUUUAGAGUUUGCAGCAAACGUGUUCCUCCAUUUUAGUAACUCAAUUCUACAGUUCCUGAUUUUCCUUGUUAUCUUAAACAUUCUUGAACCAGGUUCAUCCCUUUGCCAAGCUUGCUCGACUACCUGUUGCACCCCUUCCUUAUGCAACCAUCUUUUAUCAAAAAAGAACCUUUGUUUCCUUUUCCCCUUUUCUGGAUCAGUGUCUAAGCACAAAAUGCUGUGGUCAGAAGCAUAAGUGUCCAUAUGCUGGCAUUUAGCUUUAUCAAAAGUUUGCACCCAUUCAUAACUGGCCAAGCAUCUGUCUAAUCUUUGCCUAAUUUCUCCUUCAUUCUCCCAAUGAUUACUCCAAGUCCAUGGGUGUCCCUCAAAGCCUAUAUCUAUUAAGUUACUCUGCUCUAUAAAGGUCUUAAAAUCCCUGAAGCUGCUCUCCUCUCUGAAAACACUCCCCCAUUUUUCUCCAUUUGACACUAUAUCAUUAAAAUCACCUGCUAUCAUGUAUCUAUCUCCCCACAACCUGCUCCUAUCUCUCAAAACUCUCCAUUGUUCCUUACUUAUCUGUCCAUCACAACUCGCAUAAACUCCUAUAAACCACCAGUCACAAUGCUUAUCAUCAUCCUCUAACCUGACUUCAAUAGUGAAGGCUGUUAGAUUAACUUCCAGAACUUGUGUACCCUCUUUCCAAAAAACUGCCAUUCCUCCUGCCUUGUGCAUGGCUUCUACCACUGCACUGUUGUCAAAACGUAAGCUUCUAGCAAUCCUAUCCAAAAUCUGUUUUCUAUUUUUUGUCUCACUUAGGAAAAUAAAGCUUGGAGAGAGGAGGUUAUUAACCUCCCUCAGGUGGGGAACUGUCAAGGGGCUCCCCACUCCUUGACAAUUCCACACCAAAGCCCUCAUUUCCCUUGGGGGGCCCUAUAAGGGAGAGACCCCACCUCCACCUCAGACAAACCUGUGUAUCCAGACAGCUCAAGAGCCUUAGCUUUUUUGCCUACUGGCUCUUUCGAAUACACAUCCUCCAUUUCCUCAUCAAAGACCAGCAUCUUUCUCUUACCACUACCCCCAACGAAAGCUUCCUGUCCAUUUCUCUCUCUCAAAGGCCUUCUUGUCUUAACAGGAGAUUUCAGCUUUUUAUAAGACCUUUUAACUUGCUUUGUCAUAGCUCCUUGCCUCUUUACCUCACAAAGGCUUUUCUCCUGCAUAGCUGCCUCAAAGACUGGUAUCUCUUGUAGGCUGUUCUCCUGCUCCAGCCAUUUUGCACUCUCAUCUCUAACCUCAACCAUUUCCUCCUCUACUACUAAAGUCACUCUUUUCUCAGUUCUGACCUGCGAUAUCAGCAAGAGGUCCUGAUUUUCCUUAGUCAAGGCCUGAGAGCCAUCACUGAGGUCCCUAUCCUUUCCACUACUGUCCCCUUUAUAUGGGGGGCUACUUCGAAGAUUUUCCACCCUUUCCUUCUCCUGCUCUUUAACAACCUCUGGAGAACUCUUCGUUCCUAGCCCUGAAGACCUCAACGUCUCCAGGAUUUUCUCUCCAGCCUGCAUCCUGGUCCUUUCCCUCUCAACCAUUUCUCCAUUCUGAAACUUCCAAUACCUUUUAUCCUUCACCAGGUCCUCUCUCACUGUCCUAUCCUUUGUUGGACUUCUAUUACUUCCUGCUCUCAGCCACGGCCCAUAUUGAUUCUCCAAGAGGGUCCCUGAUGAAUUCCUUUGUUCUUGACACGUACGUUCCCCGUGCCCAACUAUACCACAGCUGUAACAGAAAUCCGGGCAUCUUUCAUAUUUAAAGGCAACCCAUUUGAGUGACUCUGCUACAUUAACCAACGUUCCUCUGAGGAGGGGUUUAGACAAAUCUACCAGGGCAAGAACUUUAAGAUGUCUUCCCUCUUUUCCUCCUGCCUGAGGUAUAAUCACUUCUUUUGCUUCUCUAAAAACUGCGCCAAUCUUUCUCCCUACCUCCUUGGACAGCCAGUGCACUGGCAGAUUCCACAUUUGUACCCACAAAAGUGCAGUUGUAAAAGCUCCAUAGUUAUCUUCUACUCCCUCAGACCAUCUGUUCAGCACUAGAACUUGGUUGUCCAUUAUCCAAGGACCUCCUGUCACUAUCCUUUCUUUCUCUUCUACAUUUGGGAUAUUAAACUGGAAUAGAUUCGGUCCUAACUCCAUAACAGUCAAGUUCCUGGGGUAGCUCCAUGCUGCUGUCACGAAGUUUUUCACUCCCGUAAAGUUGGCAAUUUUUUCCCCCAUAAUUCUCCCUAUCAAACUGUCUGCACAAUCUCUCCUCCCACUACUAAGGUCCUCAAGCUCCAACUUAGCUCCUGAUAUCUCGUUCCCUUCCAGAGAAAACUUUUGUAACAAUUCAGCCAGGUCUCCCUCCAUAGAUGAGCUAGAGAUGCUAGCGGGUAUUCCUUCUACGUACUUAGGAAGAAAGAACUCUUCGACUUCCAGACAGGAAAAAACAAAAACACGAACCCAAGAGAAGAAAAACAGACAACGUAAGAAAAGGCUCACAGAAGGCCUACCUUACAGAGAGAAUACUUUAGAAAAAGACAUAACAAGGUUGACCACACAACAAGACGACAGACAAGGGUCUCAGACAACUCCAAAACACUACCAGACAUGUACUACCUCAGAAAUAGGAACAAGUAAAAGUAAAGGGCAAACAAGAUUCACCUGGCUUUCAGCUACCAUAAAGUGGAGACUUUAAGAUGUCCGUUGUUCCCUCAGGAGAGACCUCCUAGAAGCUCUCUGAGUGCGAUAGUUGAGCUGCAUUAAACAAGCAUUUGAUGCAGACCAGAUCGGUAGUGGUGAUGUUCAUCGAAGUUAGAUUGGAAGGUGUUGAUUAGCCAUAAAUUUUGAAAAAGUUUGAAUUUUGAAGAACUCCCACCAAAAGGGAGGUAAGCUCUUAUCCCAAGAGAGAGCGUCAUCUACGCAAAGAGAGGAGUCACUUUACGUCAGAAAACGUACGAAUACUAACAAAGAUUGUGUAUUGGAAGAAAACGUGGACGUAUAUAAGACAAACACAAAUCUGAAAAUGUUGAUGCUUCACUUUCAUUUAACUAGACUCGUCAAAGUUUCGGUCCUGCAAUUCAAGCUCUAAAAUUUGGGGAGGUCCAUUUCUUAAAUUCAAACCUGUCCCUUAACUAAUAGUACAUUGCUUUAAGCGGUCUUAGAAAUGUUAAAAACAGAAUAGACACUAGAAGAUGCUGCUGGUGUUUUUCUAAAAUUGCCUUCUUAUUCUUAGUCAAAAUUUGCAUGGAAAUGAAACAGGAAAAGGUGGCUUGUGAAGAAAAGUUGUAGCCGAUCAAUGUCGUGUGACUUUUUAAUUUUUUUUUUCAACAUCGGAGUAUCCCAACUUUGUCAGAUUAAUGUCGUGUGAUUAGUAACAGCAAAAUUGAGGUGGUGUUUUGAGAUUUUUUGUGAGGACAAUAAUGGAACCUAAAAUAUUGCGACCAUAUUUUGUUUCAGCGACUCCUAUUAAGUUUCCAAAUGAGUCUGCUUUAGCCCGAAGACCAUUCUCAGAUUACGCGUCUCUAAGCACGAAAGUACAGGCAAAAUAUUUGCUGAUCCGGGGGUUAAUCUCUAAACAAGACAGAUCAUCAUUCAAUUAAAAAAAGUUUUAAAUUCCUUUACGGCUUUGUUUUGUGUAUGUGGGUGGCGUUUAAUCAGCUGUUAACUUGUUUACUUAGCAUUGAGCAUUGACAUAGAAAGAUAAAAGAAUUUUAGAUUAAAUAUUGAUUCACAGUAGAUAGAAAUAAUAAAAGCAAGGUCUUCUGUCAGAAUGAUAAUUGAGAUCGGGAAAAACAAAGCUUUUAUGCAAAAUUGCUGACUACUAUUCAUUAUUACUUUAAACUAAGCUUGAUUGUUUACAAAUAAAUGAAUAACAUAUAUCACACACUCUCUCUCUAUAUAUCUAUAUAUCCACCGAGUGGAGUGGAGUGGAGUGGAGUGGAUAAUGCUUCAAAAUGCCCAGCCCUUUUUACAUUGAGGAUUGAGCAUUCAAGCAAAUCUAUACACAAACAUUUUUUAUGCUUCCAAGUGCCUUGCUCAGGAGAUGAAUGAUGAUAAACGCAGCUUCGCUUCCGCAAUGUUGUUAUGACUGCGUCUUUUAUCUCCUCUGGAAGUUGAAAGUUUUAAUGGCGUAGGCAAAUAUGAAGGCAAAAAUUACCGGCAAUCCGACAACUACACCAGCAACAACUGGAAGAAAGUCAUGUUUGAAUCCAAAGUAAUGUCUCAGGUAAUCUUUAAUUAAUUCGCCGUUGUCUUCAAGACGAUCAGACAGAUCUCCCCAUUGGGAUACAAACAGGCCAUACAAGGUCCAAGCCACGGGACAUCCCCAGUAAUACCAUCUCCACCAAAUAGGAAUCCUCUGUUGUUUGACAAGAAAUUCAGAAUUAUUAAAAAGAAAGAAAGAAAAAAAAAAGAGAGAGAGUAAGAUUUCUUGCUUUGCUUUGCAUGCGUGACUAUUAUGGAAAGAAAUGAUGAUGAUAUUUGCACAACUUACCGGUCGGGGGAUGAGGAAUCCAGAAAAGAGAUUCCAUCCAGCAUAAAAGGCAGAUGCGACGACGGCAGAAAUGUUGUGAUUGGGAGUGACAGACACAACCAUCAUGCCAUAGAAGGUGAAGUACAGUAAUGUGAAGUACAUGAGGAACAAGUACCAAAGGAAUUUCGAGGCGGUCCAUUCAAAUCCAAUCAUAGCGUAGGUAAUGACAGAAUAGAAUACAGCUUGUUUAAGGAUGUAUAAAAUCUCAAUUCCAACCUGGAGACAGCAAAACAAUUUAUCAGAAAAAAAAAGACUACACUCGUGAAGUGCCAUGCAACGUCUGAUAUUCAGGAAAUCGGCUCACCUGUGCAAAAGCAUAUGGCAAGGCAGAAUACAUUCCGGCUGCUCUCUCUCUGUAGAAUACCGUCCGUUCUAUAGCCACCACAGGUUGCACUGCUGAGGAGUUUUGCACCCCCAGGAAGAGAACAGCAGCAUACAUUGAACCCAUGGCAUUGAAAAGAUCUUGUGUAGUGUCCCUGCGUUACAACAAGCCAAUACGUUUAGUCAAUGGAACUUGUGCCGAAAUCAUGCUUCACAGGUUGAUUUUCAGUGAUGCGCUUGUUAACUUACUUUCUUUUACCCAGCUUCCAGAAGAUUGUCCCAAAUGACAGAGCAAUGAAGGAGGUGAAUAAAAAUCUCACGGCUGUAUAAGGUGGAUUGCGCCAGUAUGAUAUGCGUUGUUUCCAGAAGCAAGCCAUGCAUUGCACAGGGAACGCCUGAGAGUACUUGGUAGGGAAGUAGAGGUCUUUUGUACCAGGGCGCGGGCUAUCUAAUUCAUGAAUGAGUGCUUUGUUCCUCCUGGAAUUUGUAACAUAUACAAGUAAAGAAGUGCAUACUAGAUUGAUGGUGUAUUCUGUCAUUGAAUAUUGGCGGCCCAAAGUAGCAUCAUCUGAUUUAGAGGCAGAAAUUGACUGUUAAAUAACUAAACUGACCUGUAUAAAUCAGAGUUUUUAUAGAUCUCAGCAAAAUCGACUCCCAACAUAAGUUCUUGUGCUGAAGCAGUAACUUCCAACAUCCAGGUUGCUGGGUUGCAACCAUCUUUGAUUUUGCUGACUCCAUGAAUUGCCUGAAUUUGAAAGAAAAAUGAAUACAUAGGGUUCUAAUUUGGAAAAGAAGCUUUUCAGGCAUUACAUGUUAAUCAGAAACUUACCUCAAAGUACUUAAUUAAUUCGAUGGAAUUGUGGCCAAGCGGCCCGACAUAUAUUUCUUGGCCCCCUCGCUUCAGAAGGAAUAACUACAGAACCAUGUCCAGUGUUAGUAGUUCUUAUUAAUUCGAAAACCAAAAAGUACUCAAAGUUCUGAACAGAUCAUUACCUCAUCAAAAGCUUCAAAUAUGUCAAUGCUUGGCUGAUGAAUGGUGCAUACUACAGUUCUUCCAGUGUCUACAGUAUUUCUCACAGUUCUCAUCACAAUUGCAGCAGCUCUUGCGUCAAGACCUGAAGUUGGCUCGUCCAUGAAUAUGAUUGAGGGGUUAGCCACAAGUUCAACGGCAAUGGUAAGCCUCUUGCGCUGCUCAGUUGAAAGACCGUUAACCCCUGGCAGCCCCACAAGUCCAUCUCUCAAUGAAGUAAGUUCCACAAGUUCCAUAACUUCAUCAACGAACAUCUGCAGAUAUUAGUAACAUGAAUAUGCACAUAAGAUACUUGAUAAAGGAGACGCACAUUAGCAAGGCUUCAUAAAUUUGUCAACAUUUUGAUUGUUAAACACAAUCAGAUUGAGGGAUACAAACCAUUCUGGUUUUUGCAUCAACUUCUGCGGGCAGACGCAGCCAAGCUGAGUAAACUAGAGACUCAUAAACAGUAACGUGAGGAGAGUGGAUGUCAUUCUGCUCGCAGUAUCCAGAUAUCCGAGCAAAGGUCUCCUGAUUCUUUGGAUACCCAGAGAUUGUAACGUUUCCUUCAAUAUAUCCGCCAGUUUUUCUACCAGCCAGCACAUCCAUCAAAGUUGUUUUACCGGCUCCACUAACACCCAUUAAAGCAGUUAGAACACCAGGCCUAAACGCUCCACUAAUCCCCUUGAGAAGCAUGAGUUUAUCUUCAACAGUACCCUGAUCUUUCAUUGCCUGCAGGUCAUUGAAAGAAUUAAGCAGGUAUUUCAGAGAUGGGUACUUCAAUGACUAAUUAUUAGCAGUAGCAGUAGCUGCUUAUAAAUCAUCAACACAGGAUUCCUCUCGGAAAGUUUGAACUUGUAACUUGUCCAAGUACCUGUGGCAUGUCAACUGAGUAUCUUAUGUCAUCAAAGGUAAUUGAAUGCGGUUCAAAUGGAAGAAUCAUUCCUCUUCUCUGAUUCUCAUUGGACUCAGUGAUGGCAUCUGCCCACGUAAAAGUAAACCUUUAGAAACCACACAAGGUAGAGGCAUCAUUGCAUCCAUAGGCAUCAUUACAUCCCUAUGCAACUUACCUACGGAGCCAUCUCUUUGGCCAGAAUUUUCAGUGUUUUCACUUUCUUCUGGUAGAACAGCUUGAGGCUUCCCGAUUGCUGCAAAAGUUUUGUCUAAUUAUUAGUACCUGACCUUCAAAUGAUUUCAACUUACUAAACAAAAACGAUACUCACGCUGAAGAUAAGUGAGAGCGAGGGUAUAGAAGAAAUUUAACAGGAGAAUGAAUCCACCACACGCUCCAAGUCCGAUCCAGUACCAGUAUGAUUGAGGGAAGAAUCCUUUCGAUUUCAAGACUUGAGUUCCCAAUGUUUCAGUUGUAUUUGGCACAAUCUAUGCGAGUACAGAAUAUAAUAAGAAGUUAGUCCAAAUCCCAGAUUCAGAAAUUCAGGAACCAUGCAAUUGCUGAGCAUAGUAAUUUACUUGUCUCCAGUGCUUUCCCGUAAAUUCGUUAACAAGAAUUGCAUUCUGUGCAUACAUCAAUGGUGAGGACCAGUAACCCCACAACCACCAUUUCUUCACUUGGUCUGCAUCAUUCCAUAAAAUAAGAAAAACAAAAGCAAAUAUCAGUCACUUUUACUGAUUAUGAGGAGAACAGAGAUUUGACUUUUGAAUUCGGAGUAUUACCUCUUGAUAAGACAAAUCCACCCAAUGCAAAAAGCAGCAUCAAUGCGAAUGUCCCAAAUGUGUUAGCCACAAUCAUGUUCCUGGAAGCUGCCCCAAUGAAUCUAAACAAUGCUGAUGCUACCUGAUUUAUAGCGACUAGUAUGAGGUAGUGUUUGAAAAACCUGCAGCAAACGUACCAGAUAUGAAAAAUGUGGACCUUUAUUUACUAUAAAAGUUACUGAGCUAAGUUAGUUUGACAGUUUACUAUAAAAGUUACUGAGCAAAGUUACUUAGGUAGUUUACCUUGCAGGGCUUGGAUCAAAUCCAAUGACAUAGUAGGUCAUAACUACCCAAACGGCAACUUCAAGAAAAGUGAUUGGUAUCUUGAGAAUCCAUGUGGGCAGAGCAUAUGACCAUGCAGGGAAAAACCGGAAGUCCCUUUGCUUGAAGAAGACCGGAAGCUUGAGAAUUGUCAUCGCCAGUUCGGACAUUCCAUUAAACAUGACCUGAACAACCGCGAAAAAUAGAGCACCAAGAUAUAUUCCUCCAUCAACAACAUCUCUUCUUGGCAUUUUAGUCCUAAAGAACACUGUCAUUCCGAUUAGGGCCAUCAUGAUUAGCUGAGACAUUUUGAAAAUGUAGAUAAAGGAGUUUCUCUUUAUAAGCAAGAGUUCUCUAGCGGAGUUGGCUUUAAAAAUCUCUUUAUUGUUAACACCAUAGGUUUGGGUAGUCAAAGCGGCUGGAUGACUUUUGCUCUUAUCAAACGGUGUUGCAAGUUCAUUUGCUAGUGUCCUUCCAACAUGGAAUGAUUGGAAUGACUCGGCAAAUUCAGUUGCGGCUAUAUAUCUGUAGGGUUCGUCUCUACGUGCCCAGUACUGCUGCUGAUCUUUCUUUGAUGUAACCUGCACAAAUAUGUAAUUUUUUGUUAUGACUGGAUAAGGGACUCAAAAAUCGAUAUUAUUAUAAAUGUUUAUUUUACAAUAAAAACAUACUUCUUGCAAGAAGUCAGCAACUCCUUUUCUGUCCGGGCAUCGGAAACCCAUAGAUUGAAAAAAUUCAAGAACAUUUUCUCGGGGGCCCUGGUAAACAAUCAGGCCAUCGGAUAAGAGGACAAUAUCAUCGAAGAGGUCAUAUGUCUCAGGAGCCGGCUGCAGGAGUGAAAUGAAUGCAGUUCCCUUCAUAAUAUGCACAUAUUGUCUGAGGGAAUUCACAAUCUGGAAAGUAGUGGAACUAUCUAAUCCAGUUGAUAUCUCAUCCAUGAAUAGCGCAUUUGUCGGUCCAACAAGCAUUUCACCUGAAAUUUUAAGUAAACCAUCAGCUAAGUCUAGGGCUGUAAAGUCUAAACAGGGCUUGCUCGAAGUAUGGUUCAGUUUUUACCUGUUGUCACGCGCUUCUUUUGUCCUCCAGAGAUUCCUCUUAGCAUUUCAUCUCCUACCAGAGUGUCUGCGCAAAUUUCCAGUCCCAAAAUCUGCACACCAAUGAAAAUAUGAAUACGUAUUUUGCAGUUUCAUGCUGUUGUAAGACUAAGCGGAAUCUAACGAGAUAUGGUACCCGAAGAACAUAAUCUGUGACAACAGUUGCUUCUUGGCCUUCAGUAGCCGCAGACUGGAAUAACCAAAUAGAACAUGUGAAUCACAAAAUGGACAAACUAAAAUUGCUUUGCUGAUUAGUUUAACUAGAUUAGCAUUGUAAAGAGACUGAGAAUCAACAAUCAACUAUGACUAGUGUUAUUUCUUUCUGACCUUCAUGUAUAUAUCAAUAUCGGGAUCAGGCUUAAUGUUUGCUGCUUUUUCUCUUCUUGACAACUCCGCCAACAUCUCUGCAAUUUUUUUUAAGAACAAUGAAUAUAUUUAAUCACCAAGUAAACAUAAAAGGACAUAAAAGAGCAAGAAGUAGGAGUAAUCUCCUGACUAACCAUAACGAGAUCCAACUCCUUGGCAUCUGGCAGAAAAUGCUAGAGUUUCUCUCACAGUCAUUUCUCCAAUAUGGAGAUCAUGUUGACUAACAUAUGCUGCAGUUCUUUGGGGUACAAAUUCAUUCAUGCCAUGCCCAUUGUAAGUAAUCCUUCCAGAAAACUAGUGUGAAAAAAGAAAAGACCUUAGUUUAUUCAAUUAAGAAACGCGAUUCCUAGCUUCAUAUCGGACGUUAAUUCCAGCAGUGUAGUUGCUGUAGAUUUACCUUCAAAUCGGGGUCAAGCUUUCCAGCCAAAGCCAUCAAAAGUGUUGUCUUUCCAGACCCUGGAGGACCUAAUAGUAAUGUCAUUCUGCAAAAACAAGAUUAAAGAGUUGAAACAAGAGACAACUAUCUUCAAAUAUUGAAGUCACAUACAGAUAUAAAACCCCUGAAUUAGGCCAUGUUUGAUUUCAUUAGUAAUCUGCUGUCUUACCUUGAAGGCUUGAUAAUUCCACUGACAUCGCGAAGUAUUUUAAUAUUCUUCUUUCUGCUUGGAAGUAUGUGAAGAUUGUUCAAGAGCCCCUUUUGAAAAGGUAAAGGAAAAAAAGGAAGAGCGGGGAAACAGACAAGUUAGAUCAAAGCAUCCGUUGCAUGCUUGAAGGUACAAAUAAUCUAAAACAAAUAUGUUUCAUAUAACCGAAAAGCAGGCGAUGAAUAACAAGAUUUACCUCUAUCAUAUUGGUAGCGAAGUUAAGGAAGGUAGGCAGAGCACUACUUCCAACAUAAGCUUCUGCGUCAACUUUUAGAUGCUCAAAUCUUACUUCAAUUGUAGGCAAAUCGAUUCCAACUCUAAAGUUAUACCACAGCGAAAACCAAAAAAAUCCAUCAUUUAAAAGAUCAAAUUUUUGGUUGAUUUAUUUGUUGAAAGAUACAAAGUGAAGAGAUCAAUCAGCAGAAGUGGUAGUACCUAUCAAUUCUGUUCCUCAGUUUCAGCAAGAAUUUCUCAUUAUCCUCUUCGGCAACCUUGAUGAGCCUCUCAAUGAGAGUUUUUCUAUCUUGAAAUCCAAAGUUCUCUACAUCCACUUCAUUGACUUCACCUCGCGACCCAAAGAGCAGCCCUUUUCUCAGUCUAUCAAAGGUUGGUAGCUUUUCAAGGGAAGCCCAUUUCAGAGCUUCUUCAUCAUCUUCGUCUCGCGAUGAACGUGAAAACACUUCCAGGCCUGUAUUCCUCCACAAGGCUGAGCUGUUAGCUCUUAAACUACCUCUUAAACUACCGCUCGGUCCUAUCUCCAUUCUGAUCCCAAGUGCGCACAAUAUGCAACACUAGCCCAGUAAAACGUCUUCAAAAACAGCUCGAGAAUCCUCGAAAUUUGGCACGCUUGAAUCAAAAUCUUAGCAAUUCGGCCGCCUUGAUCAAAAGGGAUGACUACUCAGUUCCCAGUCUCUUUCUUUCUUUCUUUUUUUUUUUUUUUUUGCAACUGGUCCUUCAAAGGACGCCCCUAGCUGCAGAAGGCGUGCAAUUACAUACAGUUUGAGAAAGAGUUGGAAGACGGAGAAAAGAACGUAAUAUUUUGAAGGGGGAGUGAGUUGGGGAGUAUUUAUAGAAUAGUUAACUUGUGAGGAUGUUAAAUUUUUAAGUUGAACGAAGACCGGCGGCUCGUAGUUCUUCUUUUUUUUUUUCCCAUUUCUUUUCUUUUCUUUUUUUUUUUUUUUUGCCAGGCGGAUGUACCCAUUUCUAGAAUACGUGAAUUUUUUUUUGGCGGGGGGAAUUUGGAUCAAAUAUUUUUCUCCUGUGUACGUGGAAAAUGGGAACAUCAUUGUUGACCGGUGACCCAGGUUCCUUCCUUUGCCCAUCAAAGCCUAUUCCUUUAGGAUAAUUUAACGGUCCAAAUAAUUAACCCACAGGUCUUAAAUUGGUCAUAGCGGCGGUCAAAAGCAGCAAAAAAAAAAAAAGAUAGUCAAAAUAUCCAGCUUGAGUUCAUAAAAAAAGGGGGCCCUGUGAAACAAAAAAUUCUCUUCUUUUUUUUUUCUUCCCUUUGUGACAAGAUAAAAUUUAGAUAUCAUUAGAGGAUUUAUAUAUUCUAUAGCUGUUUUUUUGUUGAAUGUGAUUACAAGUAAUUUUGCAUUGUGUAUGGAUGACAACUUAAAAAUGUUUUUGAGACCUCAAUCUUAGUUAAAAAUGAUAAUUAUUAUUAUGGGGAGGGGAACACAUGGAUAGCGGAAAAUUGUGAUUUAUCGUUCUUGUUUUCUCGGUUUUGGUUAAAGCAGGAAAUCAGAAAACAAUAAAUAAAUUCAAAGGGUAAAUUUAAUUGGGGCGCCGCAUUUGACCACAUGCGCUCCCAUAACGUUUUGGUCAACUCUUCAUGUUUAAUUAUUUUUUAAAUUCUUUUCCUCCUUCUUUAUAGUUUUAGAUGCCGGUAUCAGCACUCCAUGUUUGAAAUCACGGGUUGCAACUUGAAACUCAUUGUCAAAAAAGAAAAAAAAAAAAAAAAAAAAACUCUUUUCCCAAAGUCCUUAUUUGCAAUAUUCCAGCCAUCAUACAAUAAUGUACCAGAGGGCUGCCAAAGGAGCGGUCGGCAAUCAUCUCUGGAAAGCUGUCACAUUUUCCCCCUAGUGGUGCUAACUGACGAUUAAACAAACAUAUUCUAAUAUGAUUCUCUAUCUACUAACCACCAAUAUAGGUUUAAUCAUACUUUGCCCCCUCAACUAGGGGUAAUCCCACUUUGUCCCUUCAACAAAAAGAAUACGGACAUACUUUGCCCUCCAUCAAGAGCAAUCAACCCUCAAGUCUGUGAAGAACACCAUUUUAAAAAGCGAUGAUGAUUGGAUAAAAAUACCCUUUGGUUGCCAAAAGACACAAACAUAUAGCAAUAAAAUGCAACUUGAUCAACGGUACAAAGAAACUCUUAUACUCACAAAUUACUUAAUUUUGGACCUAAAACCAUAAGAGAUUAUCGAUCGAGAAAAGCAGAGGAUUAGUGGUUGCUAGUAGAGUAAUUGAGGAGUUUUCGUCGAAAAAAAAAAAAAGAUUUGCAACAGUUAACAAUUGAUCAUUUGAUGAUUUAGGGUCAUGAAAUUUUAUUUUUUUUUUGUGAGUGCCAUGUGGUCCUUAUUUUCGGUUGAAGGAGAAAUAUUUCAACAGGUAAAACACUCAUGAUUUCAUGAUUUUGAGUUACCAAAAAAAAAAAAAAUAUUUUCUUUUUUUUUUUUUUUUCUUUUAAGCUAAGACGUUGUGCUACUUUUGACCAUUUAUAUGGAUGUUUGUUACAACAACUACAAAUAUGUACUUGUUAUUUAGGAGUCCCUUUUACUUUUAGUGCAAAAUUCGAAGAAGAAAUUACUUUUAGUGCUUUUUAGGAGUCAUAUAUUUUGAGUGGAGAUUUAGUGCUACUUUGCGAGGCUAAAGUGUAUAUAGUCUCUUGAUUGAGGGUGACGAACUGAACCUCCCCCAGUCUGGGCCAGGGAGGCAAAGUAUAUGAUUAGCCCAGAAAGAAACCGACGCUGUUUAGUUUAAAAUAUGUCAAACCUAAUAAUUCUGCAUUGCUUUCGCAUCAAACCUAAUAUAUUUUGUUUAAUUUAAAAUAUAUCAACAGGUAGCAAUCUGACUCUGCCGCACAUGAUUCGAUCACACGUUUUGAGGACGAAAUCUAACCAAUAGUCUGCAUUGCCCUCGUCAAGUGCAGAAAAAAAAAAAAAGGAAGACCGAAGACUUUUCACAAUCAACUUGAUGAAUUGAGCUGGCAAUUGGCGUGAACCACUUUUAAUAAAUUCCAAAACCCGUAAAAUUCACACAUCCACACGUUAGUAUUCUGGAAGCUCUGACGGGCACUACGACUUGGAUUUUUUUUUUCUCUUUUUUUUUUUUGGAAUUUUUAUGCAGGGAGCCUGGACCGCUGGACGAGAUAUGUCGAAAUAAUAAUUCCAAAUCCUGUUGCCCACACGUUAUAUUUGUUACUUCAAAUUUUUCAUUCUGACAGGAUAUAAAUUGCUCUAAAUUCCUGUGCUCGUAAGGGUGGGUGGAUAAAUAAUUAAAAGCACAGCACGCCUAGAUCUGUUGGACAAAAUAUUUAUAUAUAUAUAUAUAUUCAAUUAUUAAUUUGUGGGCUAGCUUCUUAACAUAUUUAUUAAUUCAUGACCUAUCUUAUGGUAGUAGUACUAUCCUAAAUUUUAUUAGGAGUAUUAUUUUUUUUUUAAAUUUUCAUUUUCAAGCAAAAUAUAUUGGGCUUCAAGUUCCUGAUAUUUAGGAAAUGAUGUCAAACGAUUAAAGAUUUUAACCAGGAAUACUAGUCUAUCUUUUCUUUUCUGCCCUUGAAAACUCAGGAUGCAUGCCCAACUUUUUUGUGGAAUUUCUUUUUCCAAACGUUUGGAUUCAAGUAACAGGACGUAGACAGUUUUUCUCGGUCGUGCACGCGGACUUUACUUGCCCAUUUUGGUGGAGAAAAAAUGAAGAAAUAUCAUCAUCGUCAUGUUAGUAAGUAGUAAUUUGAUGAGGUUUCUGGACCUUUUGGCUUUGUGCUAAGGGGGGAGUGAGGAGCGGCCAUGAUGGAUGGAUAGGCUGCAUUUGCCUCGCAAAUUCCUCCUCUUUUGAACUCAAGACUUUCUCUUCAAGACGCAGGACUUGACCAGUCUACCACCACCCAAGUGCUCGUGAAAGUCAACAGUCUCUUGGGCUCUUGCUACCACCAACCAAGACGUGAGAGAUCAAAAGUUUAAUUCUUAUUUUUAACUUUAUCACUUUAAUUAUAUCUAUCAGUUAAUUAUGAUUUCUUCCGACGGAAUUUCAUUGACCCCUUUUUUUAGAUUAGAUUAAAAUAAAUUAUAUAAAUAUUGUCGUAACGAAAAAAAAAAAAUUGCUCGUGAAAGUUUUGGCUGGGAGCUUUCUCAGUCUUUCUUUCAGUCGAUUGAGCAAACUUCAAAAUAUCUCCACCUCUUGUCAUGUCAUUCCAAAACGGUCCUAAUAAUGAUGAAUAGUUCAGCAGCCAUGAACACCUGUCCUGCAGCGGCUGACCACGAAUUACCCAGUACUGCAAAAUAUCCAUCUCCGGUCUUAUCCAAACGGAUUUUGUUCUUUAAAUCAUGAAGAAACCAAAGGAUCUUAUAUCACAACGGGUCACAUACGCGCUCUUUGUCCUGGCGAUCAUAUGGUUUACCAAAUCCCGACUCGUGAGCUUUUUGUUUUUUUUUUUUUAUUUUGUGCUGUCGUAUUUAAUGGAGUGCACCGGGUACGUACCUUAUUAGAAGAUGUUACUGAUUUGACACCAUAUCAAUAGCCCCAUUUGAUAUGAAUAUGAAUAUGACAAGAAUUAAUAUAAAUAUGAAUAUGGCUCGGAUUUGAUAGGAUAUGAACAUGGCUAGAAUUAAUUGUCAAUAAUUUAUCCCAGCGUGUUAAGGAUAUUUUCUUGUAAGCUAUGGUUAGAGUGCCCUUAUCAACACACCUAAUUUAUCAUGUGAAUAAAUCGUCGCAAUUGUUGUAUUUUUUAUAUUUAUAUACUUUUUCAAAUUAUCCACACAUUUCUUUUUUUUCAAGAGUAGAACUAAUAUCUGAAUUCUUUCGGAUGUCCAUUGAAUGAUCGUUAAUCAAACCAUUAUAUAUUAAUUGGUUAUUUCAACUUACUCUAACAUAAAAGUUUAUAACUUUAACGUGUUAUCUUAUUACUAUUUUUUUUUUAAUCACAAAAAAGAAGUGAAGUAUUCACUUUCACUUGAUUAGCUUCGCUAGUAGUGUACUGAGUCUUACCAACUUGAGCUUGUGGAAGCAGAAAUUUGGCAGUCGUUGAUCAAAUUUCCAAUGUCAGAAUCGUCUCCAACUAAGUCGUAAGCAAUUGUUUAGUUGUUGCUGCAUCCCCCUUUCCAAGUUUCAACACAAAUGCUUGGUGCUGAAAUCCAUCCGGAAGGGAAAUGCCAAACAUUUAAUCUGGUCUUUCCAAACAUUUUAGACCUCGUCGUGGUCCGCAAUAGCCACACCCAGUCCACCUGCCUUCUGCAGGUUCAUAAAAAAAUUUUAACUCAUCCACUUUUGGAGGAUUCCUUCCAGCUAGUUAUUAACAAAUCUAAUUUUCCCUCUGCAACCUGUCUAAAUUCCAGCAACAUGAGAAUGCUGGAU
Molecule: long non-coding RNA, 47117 nt
Filed under: Coffea arabica (coffee)
Lineage: Eukaryota; Viridiplantae; Streptophyta; Magnoliopsida; Gentianales; Rubiaceae
Description: long non-coding RNA (CARA_LNC003051)
Source: RNAcentral